RNAcentral lists this long non-coding RNA (56243 nucleotides) under Lynx pardinus (Iberian lynx). Lineage: Eukaryota; Metazoa; Chordata; Mammalia; Carnivora; Felidae. The record is from RNAcentral.
UUCAGAGAAGGUUAAUGAUUUUACAAAUGUUACGAAAUGUUAGUUACAGAAGUGGGUCAGGAAAACAAAUUCCUUUCAUUCAGGCUGUUACUUCUUGACCUAGUCACAUGGGAGGCACUAGGAAUCCUGAGUUCUCAUCCCUGAUUUUCUGGUGAGAGUGGGUUUUGCCUUUCCACCUCUCAAAUGGAAAUGCCGGACAAGAAAACCCCCAUCAUCCCCUCUAGCUCGGAUAUCCAAGCAUUCUCUGAUGCACACACGAGAGCAGUAUGGCCGAAGAAAUAGUUUUAUAAGCUUCGAUGACAUUCAAGAUUCCUGAUUAACACCCCCUCUCUGUGGUUACAUGAACACGCAGGUGCCAGGCAUUCAUCCUGAAAGGACAUCAGAUAACUAUGGGCUGGUGAAUCUGGAAAAGUGACAAACUGGGUUUAAAAUAGUCAGUUCCUGAGAGAAUGAUGGUUCCGUUGGCCAAGGCAAGAAAACCCUAAGAAGAAACUUACAUAGAUGGAAAAUUGACAGAGAACAGGAGGUCAGUGAUUAAGCUUCAUGGUACAUCUUAAUUUAUGGUGUGGCGGGAAGAGAAGACACCAUGAAGAAAACCCACAGAGAAGAAGUGGGUAGUGAAGUAGGAGAAGAACAGGAAAGUCCCCAGGGCUGAAGAAAGAGGAAGGGCUGAAAGGCCUGAUAAAAAAUGGUAAGUGCCACAAACAUCAAGAUGGGGAUUGAGAAAUAGCCAUGAAAUGUGGCAACAGAAUCUUUAUAUUGAAACACUUAAAGCACAGUGGGCAAAGGCUUGAGGAGUUAACUAUUUAUAAGAAAAUGGAUACAAGAGGGGAGAUAAUAUUGCGUGUAGGCUGUUCAAAGACAUAUUAGAGUAAGAAAUAAAGUCUGUAAAAUUGGGGACAGUGUAAGUAUGUUUCUAGGCAGAGGAGAAGAGGAAAAGAUAGAUUUGGAAAAGAGAAUUUAUCUGAAGGAAUAAGGUGCCAGAAGAGAUGGGAGAGGUGAAGUACCCUUAGCACAGACGGAGGGAAUGAUUUUGGCAAGGAGAAAGGCACCUCUUUUUCUGAAAAGGGAGUGGAAGAACAGUAGGAACCUGAAAGUGCCAAGAAAGUUAGAGGCAGAAGUGGAUAGACAUAGACGAAGUGGAGGAAAGAGUAGAGGAGGGAUGUUGUGACAAAGGAUCUAUCUUCCCAGUCAAUGUGGAGGCAAGACCCAGAUUGGGUGGGUGGACUGAGAGGCUGAGGACUGAGGCAAAUGAUUUCAGCAGGGAUGGAGAAAGAAGCGACAGAGAGUCAAUUAAAGAAUUGUGAGCUGCUGGGGCACCUGGAUGGCUCGGUUGGUUAAGCGAUCAACUCCUGAUUUCUGCUCAGGUCAUGACGUCACAGUUGGUGGGCUUGAGUGCCACAUCAGGCUCUGUGUUGACAGUGUGGAACCUGCUUGGGAUUCUCUCUCUCUCUCUCUCUCUCUCUCUCUCUCAAUCUCUCUCUCUCUCUCUUUCUGUUCCUCCCUUGCUCAUGCUCUCAUUCUCUCUUUCUGUUCCUCCCUUGCUCAUGCUCUCUUUCUCUCUCCCUCUGUCUCUCUCAAAAAUAAAUAAAUAAACCUAAAAACAUUGUAAGCUGCUGUGAGGUAGUUUACAGUAAAUAAGAUGUAAAUGUUUUGGUGGUUCUCAUAUGCACGAUUUUGUGCCUUUUAUUUUCAUGUGGGGGGCUAAGAGUUGAAUUGUAAAAAGUCGAUUUCCCAGGGCUGGGGAUGGGCAGAACUGAAAAUUAAAGGAUAUAAAGUGUCUAGGACUCUAAUUAAGGCAGCUUCAGGUUGCUGGAUCAGUGUUUCAGGAUGAAUGGUUAGGCACCGAACUCAUAAAGUUACACAUAAACUAGAUAAAGUGGAGGGAUUAGGGACUGGCCAACUUGCUGGGUGGUAGAACAAGAUCAGCAAUAUUAUUUAUUUCUUCAGGAGUCAGGGUGACCCUAGCUUGGAUCUUGGUUAUAUAAGAGUAUGAGUGGCGUUAAAGGCAUAAAGGAUUUUGUUAACACUGUCUUUUUAUGAGUUAGAUGAUUGUAUACAUUCUAUUAAGCAUUGUGACAUAGUCAGACCUGGCAUGGAAUUAUUCCUAAAGCACAAGAACUCUUUGAUAAGCAUUUCCUGGGUAUCUAUAAUAAUGGAACAAAAAAGAAUUACGGAGAUCGCAACAAGUUUUUUAAUCAACAAUUAAUCCUAGGAACAAGAUGUAAAGUUGCGUUCAUUACAGAAAAGCUGCAUUUACUUUAUUAUUCUAACAAAUAAAUAAUUUGAAAUAGUUUGAGGAAAUUGAUAAUAAGAGGUAAGGACAAAGUUCAGACCCCUGGAUCUGAAUAACAAUGUCAUUGGAUAAAGCUCCCUGGUAUUUCUGUAGUUAUGUACUUCUUUGUUUAUUGGAGCUCCACUGAGAAUGUUUAAUUUAUCAAAACAAGGUUCUCUUUACAAGAUGGUCUUAUGAACAACAUAAAGACCACAGUGUCUUAGAUGAGCUCCUGCUCAACCAUAAUUAGAAAUCGACACUCUAAUUUUCCAAGCCAUAUUGCUAGUGAAGUUAAAGUCUGAUAAUUUCUACCAACCGGUUGGUGACUGUGCCAGGAGUUUCUAGAGAAUGGUCAGCAUGAUGAGGGAAGUAUAUGUGCUCUCAACUCCUGCAGGCAAGUCUGUAAUUCUCACUCAUCAGCUGUAUCAGGUGAGAUGACAGCUUGGAAGUCUGAUGUGUCUGUCGCCUCCCUGUGAAUUAGAAGAGAAUUAGAAAAGGAGAGAAAAGAAAAGGGGGAAAAAUGACCUCAUUAGAGGGAGAAAGCAAAAAACCAAACUGCUUGCUGCUUGGACACUGGAUAUCGGGAGACAAAACUUUCCAACACACACAAAAUAAAUGGAAAAGAGCCAUCACCAACCAUGAAAUUAGCACAGAAGGAAUUCAGCUGAACUUCACCUCUGUCUAGAAACUGGAUUCUGGUGGUGGUUCUGAUGAGCAGAUGGAUAGUAUUGAGGAUGGGGAGGCAUCAGUCCAUUCAUUUAUCUGGAGGAAUUCAAAGGACAAACGGGAAAGGUUCUUAUCUAAGUGAGCUUAAACUUCCACUGAGGCACAAGGCGUAUGUCUAGAAUGCUUUACUUAGAAAUGGGCUCUGAUGUUGUGCAUUAAUUUCUUAGUGAAAUACCAUCUUUAAAUGAUUUGAUCAGUUAGUCAUCUGUAGCUACACCCAAGCAGCAACUCCGGGCCACCAAACUGGUAAAAAGAGUCUGCCUUAAGUCAAUAGUAAAGACAAAGGCGGUUAAUCCUCCAAAUUUUCAAGUGUUUUCACACAUGCCAUAAUUCUGUGUUAUGGGAGUUACUUUAGUCAUACCACAUAGCCGGGAGGAAGAUGUGCAUCAGGAAAAUACUUUCUGGGGGAUUCAUUGCCCUCAGCAUUGUGCAAGUUAAUUAGAAAUUAGCUAUUUGGGGGCGCCUGGGUGGCUCAGGUGGUUAAGCGUCCGACUUCAGCUCAGGUCACGAUCUCGCGGUCCGUGAGUUCGAGCCCCGCGUCAGACUCUGGGCUGAUGGCUCAGAGCCUGGAGCCUGCUUCCGGUUCUGUGUCUCCCUCUCUCUCUGCCCCUCCCCCGUUCAUGCUCUGUCUCUCUCUGUCUCAAAAAUAAAUAAACGUUAAAAAAAUUAAAAAAAAAAAGAAAUUAGCUAUUUGUGUAUUACAUAACUGAAAUGGUUAGGAUGGUGGGUCAUGUAAUAACAGGCAAGAUUUUCUUUAGUAUAGCUUUUUCUGUGCACGGAAAUAGCUUUUGUUUUAUUCUAUUACUGAAAGAUAUUGAAAUGUGGUUGUAGCUACCUCGUGUUGUAAUGCCUGAUGUGAAAGCGGGAGGUGUCUAUCCUUCCCAGGCAUCUUGGAUGUCAGGACCUUUCUGUCAUUCAUCCUUUUGAUGGCAAGCAGACAUAGUGCAUGGUACAAAUAAAAAUGAUUUUUUUUUUCUCCUUGUUUCUCUUUUUUCCCCUAAGGAUUUGACAAUUACAGACCUUCUCAGAUCUCUUUCCCUUUCAAUUCUUACAUGAAUAUUUGUGACAAGGAUAUCACAGAAUGACCGUUGUUUGUCUAUUGCAAGAUUUUUUUUUUUUUUUUCCUUCUGGGAGACAUCAGACAUCAUGCUCAGCCACUGGGUUGCUGUGUUUUGUGAAGUCUAGCUGGUCAGCUGGAGGGGGCUAGUUCCUCUAUGAGGCUUUACAGAAGCACCAUAGCAUCAAAAUUUGGAUCCUAUCUGAGAGAAGAUGGAAAAUAAGCAGAAAUGAGUUGUAUCUUUGUGCCUAGAUUUAAAAACAGGACUUUGGAUUCCAGGAACAAGAAAACUUGAAAGGGAACUAACUACUCUCAAAUUGACCCUGUCAGGUGUUCAAAGAUUUCCCCAAAGUUAUACGUUUCUUUUUAUUUUCAGCUGUACAUGAAGAUCGUUAUCUUGCUUUAACCUGAGCUUUUUCCAUUCUGAAUAAUAAAAGAUGAAAUAUUAGAUAAAUAACAUUCUAUUUCCAUUACUCCCAACUGGAGGAGUACCACAGUCUUUUAUUUGGUGAUUUUAUUUCUACUGUUUUGGUUUCUCUUUGUUUUUAAUGUAGCAAAAAGAACUAUUUUUAAAAGUUUUAAAAGGUAUCACAUUAUGCUAUACCGCUGAAUAAACCCAUCAGUGGUUCUAGGUGUCUGUUUUAAAACACUCAAUUUGGCUUGAUAGAACUUUUCUCAAUCAAGUGUUAUUAUUUACUUAAUCUGCUUGUUUAUUUACUUAAUGUCUGUUUCUUCUAUUGAACUAUUAGCUUGAUGUGGACCAUAUCAGUUUCUCCAUCUAUUAUUUUUUAUAACUCAUACAGCAUGAACAACACAGAAAUAUUUUCUGGCCACAUGGGGCUUACAGUUUAGUGGGGGGAAAAAUCAAACAGGUUAUAACUUAAACUGUGAUAUUCAACUUUAGAGAAAAUAACACCUCAGGACUACAUGGCAGGAAUAUCUAGCCAGCCUGGGAGAUGAGAUGGGUUCAGAAAAAAAUGUCUGGUAUUAAGUGAUAUAUAAGCUGAAACUCAAAUGAAGAACGGAAGCUAACCAGCCAACGAAGAUGGCUUAGAAUGUUUCUGGAAGAGGGGGGAGAUGCUAAAAGAAUUAUAUUAUGAAUGCUUGUAAUAUGGUUCAACGUGGAUGGUCCUUGGUGUGUGAGUGACACAAAAGGAUGCUAGACAGACAAGAAGGAUUGUAUGAACCAUCCCUGAACUCAAGAGCAUCAGAAAGCCACUGAAGUGUUAUACACAAGGAUUCAGAGGACCACAGUAACACAUUCAAACUCUUGGACUUCAUUGUAGAGAAUGACCUGGGGGAAGGAAUGGAGGCAAGCAAGUUAGAGGACAGUUUCAAUAACCCAGGUGAGUAACUAGGGUGACUUAGAAUGGGAAAAUGAUGGAGCUAUUGGGAAAAGAGAAAAAAACCUGAAAAAAUUAUUAGGCGGUAGGCUGAAUAAGAGUUGAUUUUUGACUGAAUACCGAAAAUGAAGGAGAGGAAAGAGUCAGGGGAAACUGAUUCUGGCUUGGGCAGUGGGAAAUGCCUAAGGAGAAACUAUUUAGUGGAGAGGUAGAGAUGACGCAUUCAGUUUUGGCUAUAAGCUUAAGAUGCCCAGCAGCCAUUGGGGCACCUGGGUGGCUCAGUCGGUUGAGCGUCCCACUGGGCUCCGGUCACGAUCUCACUGGGCUCAGGUCACGAUCUCACUGUCUGUGAGUUUGAGCCCCGCGUGGGGCUCUGUGCUGACAGCUCAGAGCCUGGAGCCUGCUUCGGACUCUGUGCCUCCCUCUCUCUCUACCCCACCCCCAUCACACUCUGUCUUUCUCUGUCUCCCAAAAAUAAAUAAACAUUAAAAAAAAAAGAUUCCCGGCAGCCAUCAAAGUUGCAGACACUAGUCCACAGUGUCCCCGGCAGAAGAGGAGCUUUACAAAAGCGCUGAGAGGAAAAAAGGUUAGAAUUAUAGACGUCAAUGGAAGAAUAUGUUCCAAGGAAGGAGUGGUUAACACGUAAUGAAAAAUCCCCAGUAGAUGCACAAAAAUAAUCAGUCACCUAAACAUUAGUGGCUUUGGUCGCAUGGUAAGGGAGAAAGCUGGAUUGCAGUGGGAUAUAGAGAAUGGAAAUUAAAAUAGGUAACAUUUACAAGGUGCUUAAAGAAGAAGAGACGUAGAGGGGUAACUGGAAGGGUAUGUGCAGUUAGCGAAUUUUUUUUUUUUUUAAUAUAACUGAUGCUCAAACAUGCUACCUACUUUUGCAAAACAAGCAGGAGAGAGUAACUGAAGGCGCCAAAGUAAUUGGAGAAAGUGUUCAAAUCUUUAUAUUCCAGAAUGAUAUAUGAUUUUACAAUAUGUAGGUAAAAUCAAAUAUCAGAAUAUUAUACUAAUUAUACCAAUAAAAAUUACAGCAGUAUUCUAUUUUCACGCAAUUUCCAUUGUCUGCCAAACAUAAUAAAAAAUGUGUUAGGAGUGGAGCUUAUUUUGACUCAUAACUUCCUUAGUAUGAACUUAGUUUGGAUUUUAUUAUUUACAAGAUGUUUUAAGUUGAACUUUUUGGAGCAUAUCCAUCCAUUUGUUACACACUUCAUGUUAAAAGUCUUCAACUUUCUGAGUAACAGUAUUGAGCAUUAUGUUAAACAGCCACAGGGUGCAAAGUUAUGCAAAUGUCUUGUUCAGGGUAAAGUAAGAAAGUUUGUUGUAUAAACUAGUCAGAUAUGUUACACUGAUGAGAGCAAAAUAAGUCUUGACACAUUUCUGGCAAGUGUAGAAAACUAUGAGAUGUAUUCUCUACCACACACGAAGAGUUGCAUCAGAGCAACAAAGGAUAUCAUUGUUGAGUCUAAAAAAGGCCAGGAAUAUACUGUACUUGGGCAGACCCUGCCUCCUUCCCAGGGGGACAAGCACAGAGACCUCGAUGACUCUCCAGGUUGAACCAAUUCAGCGAUUUUGAAACUAUCUGAUAGUUCAGACUGGAAAGUUAGGGGCCACCAUUGAAGAGCUCAAGAGGUGACAAAUUCCACAAGGAUGUGCAUUUGGUGAAGACGUCCCAUGUGAGCAGACACUAAUCAGCUCCUACACAAGGUGAAUGGAAAUCGCAGGGAACUCAUGGAGAUUAUUAGAGAGAAAAAAGAGUUGGAAGUUACUUUCAUUUGAUCCACACUUCUUUUUUUUGUUCUAUGGAUAAAGUUGUGGGAAUCAUUCCAGAAAAUAAAAUGGAAAAUGCAAAUGUUGGUUGUUUGCCCAAUAACAGAAACUGUUGUGAUUUAAGUUUUUGGAAGGUUUGAAAUGAAAGAGAGUCCAGGUAGGGUAAAUCAAACCAUCAUCUGUUUUUGUUAAUAAAGUUUUAUUGGAACACAGCUUCACUCAUUUUUUUUAUGUCUUGUCUGUGGCUGAGGCAUAGUCUUGUGAUAGACACUUUAUGGACUGCAAAGCUGCAAAUAUUUAUUAUUUGGUCCCUUAGAGAAAAAGUUUACCAGUUCUUCAGUCUGGUGAGUGAGUUUAAUUUAACAGUUCUUUCUUUCCAUAGGUUUCUUGCUUUCAUUCCACCUAUGAAAAUAUGCUGAAGCAAAGAGUAAAUGUAAAAGACUUAAUUUGUAAAUUUGUGUAUAUGGGACUAAAGGCUUAAUUACCUCUCAGUCUUCGUUGAUUUGAGUGGAAACUCAUGGGAGGUCGUAGAAGAAAGGGAAGUGUAUAGAAGUAAAUAGUGACAGCAAAAUUGCUAAGGAAACCUCAAUUCGUGAAGUCAAAUGCACUUGCAAAGAAAACAUUUCCAAUUUUAAUAUUUCAGUAUCUUGUCAGAUAACACAGAGUCCAUUUUUAAAUUUUUUUUAACGUUUAUUUAUUUUUGAGACAGAGAGAGACAUAGCAUGAAUGGGGGAGGGGCAGAGAGAAAGGGAGACACAGAAUCGGAAGCAGGCUCCAGGCUCUGAGCCAUCAGCCCAGAGCCCGACGCGGGGCUCGAACUCGAGGACCGCGAGAUCGUGACCUGAGCUGAAGUCGGACGCUUAACCGAUUGAGCCACCCAGGCGCCCCCAGAGUCCAUUUUUAAAGGCCUUAAAAAUAAAAUAAGAUGGGUUUCAUUCUUCUAUGUUCUCUUCUCCUCAUAAAGUGUUCAUUUCUUUAUAAGGAAGGAAAUAGAAGGCAGAGAAAGAAAAUGUGGUAUCUAUUGAAGUGCCUUUUCUCUACUGGGUUGUGGUGAAAUGAAAUCUAAACUCUCCAAAUAAACACUAGAAUGCUCUUCUUAUGAUUUGCUCUGUUAAACUGGGGCUUCAUUUCCACACUUCUCAAGAACUUUUUCUGUGGUAGGUUAUCAGAGAAUUUUUUGGUAAGUGGAGUUUGAAUAACUUCUAUUACCUGUUCUUAGGCAAAAAUAGAUACCAAAUGCUUAAGAAAUACAUGCCCUCUGCCCAAGAAAUUUAUUUACUUCAAAAUCAUACUAAACACAUUAAGGCUGUAGCCAAAUAUUUAUUAUAGAAGGUACAAGACAAAAUUGUUUAUAGUAGAUAAGCAUGAAACAUCUCUAAAUGACCUGUAUUACAGGGUUUGGUUAAACAGAUUAUGGUCUAUACAUUAAAUGGUCUGCUUAGAGUCACUGAAGGAUACUGUAGGUAAAUAUUUCUUAAUGAAAAAUGUUCAUAAUCUCAUCUACAUGAAGGAAACAAGAUACAAUAUGGUAUGUGCAUUUUGGUCUAGUUUUUAUUUAAAGCUAUGCCUUAUAUCCCGUUUCUUAAUCUUAAAUUUUUUUCUUUUUUUUUUUUCAACGUUUAUUUAUUUUUGGGACAGAGAGAGACAGAGCAUGAAUGGGGGAGGGGCAGAGAGAGAGGGAGACACAGAAUCGGAAGCAGGCUCCAGGCUCUGAGCCAUCAGCCCAGAGCCCGACGCGGGGCUCGAACUCACGGACCGCGAGAUCGUGACCUGGCUGAAGUCGGAUGCUUAACCGACUGCGCCACCCAGGCGCCCCUCGUUUCUUAAUCUUAAAGUUUAUGAGUUUUUAUGUGGUUUAGUUUAGAAAUACACACAUUGAGUUUUUAACUGUGAUUAUUUUAACAGUGGAAUUAUAGAUAUUUUAAACGUUAAAAAUGAUACAUUCUCGUUUUUUUUCUAAACACAUAAGUUUUCUUUUUAUAUACCAGUAUUAUUUUGCAUUUUAUGAAAGGCUACUAUCUAAUAAUUAAAUGUAGAAAUAAAGUUGCAGUAUAUUUCAACUUCAAUUGAAUAGUUUUUGUUCAGUAUUUAAAUUUUCCCCUGAUGGGGCACCUGGGUGGCUCAGCUGGUUGUGUCCAAUUCUUGAUUUUGGCUCAGGUUGUGAUCUCACGGGUUCGUAAGUUUGAAGCCCAUGUGGGGCUACACACUGGCUGUGCAGAGCCUGCUUGGGAUUCUCCCUCUCUCCCUCUCUCUGUCCCUCCCCUGCUCAUGCUCUCUCUCUCUCUCUCAAAAUAAAUACAUAAAACUUAAAAAAUUAAAAAAAAAUAAUUAUGGAGUUACUUUGAAAAGUUUCUGAAAUGCAAAUGACACUGCGUUUGAAUUAGAUUCACUUGGGUAAAAAGCUGAGAAAGAUUUCUCUUGAUCUUAACAGUCCUGACUGAGAAAUGACCAAGGCUAUUGAAUUAGAUGGACUUUGAAGUUGAUUUCUAGUCUCAUAAUUUCUUAACAUUGCCCAGAGAUACGGACCUCAGGUCCUAAUUUACUUCACAUCAGAGACUCUGUGUUUAGAAGUCUACAGGUGGUGGUAGGAGUGAACUUAUGGUGGUUAAAAAAUUCACUCUUAAGGGGCACCGGGGUGGCUCAGUUGGUUAAGCGUCAGACUUCGGCUCAGGUCAUGAUCUCACGGUUCAUGAGUAGGUCAUGAUCUCACCAUGGUUUGUGAGUUCGAGCCCCAUUUUGGGCUCUGAGCUGUCAGCACAGCUGACAAUCCAGAGCCUGCUUCGGAUUCUGUGUCUCCCUCUGUUUCUGUCCCUCCCUUGCUUGCACUCUCUCUCAUUCUCUCUCUCAAAAAUAAAUAAACAUUAAAAAAAUUCAAUCUUCCAAAUAAAGAGUCAAGUUUAGUGAUGAUCAUUUUGCAAAAAAAUGGUAAGAUAAACUUAAUAAAGGCUGUUGUCUGGUUCUUUAGUUCAGUGUGUUAGUAAAGUAGAUGAACUUUCACAUCCUGCCAUGGUUGGGGUCAUGGUCAUGAAUCUAAGGCUUCCCUUGGAAAGGAUCAAAUCCAUGUUUAUGUAACUAUGUGUUUUCUAUUAUAGGUGAUCAUUAUUUGUUAAAAUAACUAGCCAAGAUUUCAUUUCAUUUCCUUUUUUAUUUAAUACAACUUUAAUUUUAUUUAUUUUGAGAGAGAGAGAAAUAGAGCGUGAGCAGGGGAGGGGCAGAGACAGAGGGAGACACAGAAUUUGAAGUAGGCUCCAGGCUCUGGGCCGUCAGCACUAACCCCAAAACGGGGCUUGAACCCACAAAAUGUGAGAUCAUGACCUGAGCUGCAGUUAGAUGCUUAACCAACUGAGCCACCCAGGUGCCCCUCCAAGAUUUAAAUUUUGAUGUGCUUUUAAUGAAUAACUUGUAAAGCAACUUGAAUUUGUUUUCUAAUCAGAUAGUCUGAUUAUGUAGUCCUUUUGAUUGACUGAACAUUGGAUGAUGUGAAUGAUGUGGUCUUCACUAUUUUUGGUGCAUGUUGGGGAUAUUGUACUUGUAAAAUGUGAAGGGGAAAAAGAUCUUUAUCUCAUCCUUUCCGUUGAAACCUAAACUUAAAAAUGUUUUAUUUUUCUUAAAACCACAUACAGCAAUUUUCCUUGGAAAUUCUUGUAAUGAAAUAUUUUAGUUAUUCUGGGAAUAUAAUUAUUUUCAAUGAGUAUUUGCAUUUUUAAUUUCUUUUUUUUUUAACAUUUAUUUAUUUUUGAGACAGAGAGAGGCAGAGCAUGAACGGGGGAGGCACAGAGAGAGACACAGAAUCGGAAGCAGGCUCCAGGCCCCCAGCCAUCAGCCCAGAGCUCGACGCGGGGCUCGAACCCACGGGCCGCGAGAUAGUGACCCGAGCUGAAGUCGGACGCCCAACCGACCAAGCCACCCAGGCGUCCAUGCAUUUUUAAAUAAAUUAGUAUUUGCCAAAGGUUAGUGGGUACUCUGAGGCACUGUCUGAGUCUUGUAUGCCUUUCAUGCAGUACUUCUGAUAGAGCUGAUCUGACUCAUAAGAAAUCGUUGAUAAAAAGAACACUGACCUAUAUGGGUUUAAUUUUACAUAUUCUCAUAUACGAAAAGAACUUUAUUAUUUUAACAAAAGGCAAGUGAAGGGGCACCUGGGUGGCUCAGUCGGUUGGGCGCCCGACUUCGGCUCAGAUCAUGAUCUCACGGCUUGUGAGUUCCAGCCCUGUGUCGGUCUCUGUGCUGACAGCUCGGAGCAGGGAUCCUGCUUGGGAUUCUGUGUCUCCCUCUCUCUCUGCCCCUCCCCCGCUUGUGCUCUGUUUCUCUCUGUCAAAAAUGAAAAAAUGUAAAAAAAAAAAAAAUGUAAAAAAAAAUAAAAAAAAGGCAAGUGAAAUGUCUGACUUGCUAUUUACAUUUGAAAAACUUGGAAAGAAGAAAUAAAAAAGUAAAAUUGUAAUGUAGAAGAAAGCAUGAAGCACAAACGGAUAGAACUGAAAAAAAAAAUUAAAGAAAUGCACACUUACAGUUUGAGACUUCAAUAUUUUUUCUCAGUAAUUGAUAGAGCAGGUAGAUAGAAAAUCAGUAAGGAUACAGAAAUCUUGAAAAACACAAUCAACCAACAUGACCUAAUUUAGAUUUAUAGACUAUUUGCCCACACACAGCAGAAUAUACCAUCUUUGCAAAUGAACAGGAGAGGAUCACCAACAUCCACCAUAUUCUGGGCCAUAAUGUGAACCCUAACACAUUUAAAAAAUUGAAAAUAAUGUAAGCAUAUUCUCUGAGUAGAAAGAAAACGAAACAAAACAAAAACAAACCCAGAAGCUGUUGAGUAAACCCCAAACUUGAAAAUAAGCAAUUUGAAAAUUGUCCAUGGUUCAAAUAGAAAGUCUCAAGGAAAAUUAAAACUUUGAAUGGGAUGAAAUGCAAACACAUUAGGUGGAAUGCCAUUGUAGCAACAUUUAAAGGGAAUUUUUUUAAGAUUGAACAGUGUCUUAGAUAAGAGAAAAUGUCUUAAAUUAGUGAUCUUUAUUUUACCUUAAGAAAAGUAGGUAAAGAAGAACUAAUUAAAUUUAUGCCUAAAACGAAUAUAACAUUGUGUGUUAAUUACACUUGGAUUAAAAUUAAAAAAUUAAAAUUAAAAAGCUUAAAUACUCUAAAAAACGAACUAAUUAAACUCAAAGCAAACAGAAGAAAGUAAAUAAUAAAGAUGAAAAAAGAUAGAAGAAAUUAAAAUUAGAAAAAAAAAAACAGAAAGUGAUAUGUGAAACCCAAAACCAGUUCUUUGCAAAGAUACAUGCAAUUGAGAAAUCUCUUAACAGACUAAGGAAAAAGAGAGAAGUCAGCGUUACUAAUAUCAGGAAUGACACAAAGGACAUCAUGACAGAUACUGUAUGUAUUUUAAAAAUGAUAAAAUAAUGCUCACUCAAAAAGAAAUAGAUAACCUAAGUUGGUCCUUUUGCUACCAAAGAAAUAGAAUUUGAGAUGAAAACGUAACAAAGCAAAUUCAAGGCUCAGGUAGCUUCACUGGUAAAUUCCACUUAACAUUUAAGAAAGAAAUAGUACUAAUUCAAUCCAAGCUUUUAGAGAAAAUAGAAAAAGAAGACACUCUACAACUCAUUUGAUCAGGCUAGCAUCUCCUUGACACCAAAACUAGACAAGAGCAUUCCAAGAAAAGAAAACUGCAUAUCAAAAUCUUAUACGAACAUAGACACUACUAUGCUCCAACAAAUAUCAGCAGAUUGAAUCCAUUAAUAUAUGAAGAAAGAUGAUAUCAUGACCAAAUGCAGUUUAUUCUAGGAAUACAAGUUUGGUUUAAAAUUUGAAAACGAAUUGAUGCAGUUCAUUAUAUUAAAUGCUGAAAAAAAUCACAUGAUUAUCUCAAUAUGCAGCAAAAGUAUUUGACAAAAUUAAGUAUGCAUUCAUGAUAUGAACUCUCAAUAAGCUAAGAAUAGGCAGGAAAUUCCUCAUUCCUUAAUCCUUAAUUAAGGGUAUCUUUGAAAGACAUUCAGUUACCAUCAUAUUGAAUGGUGACAGGCUCUUCUUCUAAGAUUACAACCAAGGCAGGGGUGCCUGAGUGGCUGAGUCAGUUGUACGGUUAUGCAUCCAACCCUUGAUCUCAGCUCAGGUCUUAAUCUCAGGGUCACGAGUUCAAGCCCUGCUUUGGGCUCCAUGCUGGGCAUGAAGCCUACACCCCCCCCCCCCAAAAAAAAAGGACCAAGGCAAAGAUGUCUACUAUCACCUCUGCUAUCCAUCAUUGUUCUGCUCAGUGCAAUAAGUAAAGAAAUAAAAUAAAAAGCAUUCAUGAUCCGAAAUGAACUGUCUUCAUAGAUUACACGAUUAUCUAUGUAGAAAAUUCCAAAAAAUCUAUCCAAAAAAAAGUGACCCAAACUAAGUAAGUUUAGCAAGUUUAUAGGAUAUGAGGUUAAUGACAAAAAAUCAACUGUAUUUUUAUACACCAGCAAUGAACAAUCAGAAAUUGAAAUAAAUAUGCGAGUAAUCUGAAUGUAAAAAACAAAAUCAUCACUGAUGAAACAUAUCAAAGAAGACCUAACUAAAUGGAGAAAUAUGUUGUGCUUAUGUUAGAAUAUUCAAUAUUCAGAUGUCAAUUCUCCCUAAAUGGAUUUAUAGAUUCUAUGUGAUCCCCCUAAAAAUUUCAGCAGAUUUAUUUUAGUAGAAAUUUACAAUUUAAAAUUUAUAUGAAUAGCCUUCUUAGCAGAGUGGGAAGCAUGUCAGUCUCAUAAAAUAUAUAUGAAAAGGCAAAAAAAAAAAAAAACUAGAAUUGUCAAAAUAAUUUUGAAAAAGAACAAACUUAGAGAACUCAUACUACCUGAUCUCAGGACUUGCUAUAAAGCCAUGAUAAUCGGGGCACCUGGGUGGCGCAGUCGGUUAAGCGUCCGACUUCAGCCAGGUCACGAUCUCGCGGUCCGGGAGUUCGAGCCCCGCGUCAGGCUCUGGGCUGAUGGCUCGGAGCCUGGAGCCUGUUUCCGAUUCUGUGUCUCCCUCUCUCUCUGCCCCUCCCCCGUUCAUGCUCUGUCUCUCUCUGUCCCAAAAAUAAAUAAAAAACGUUGAAAAAAAAAUAAAGCCAUGAUAAUCAAGUAAAAAUAAUUUUGGCAAAAUGAUAAACAUAUAGAUCAUUGGCAUGGAAUAGAAUUCCCAAAAAUAUACCCAACUCUGUAUUGCCAAUUGAUCUCUUAUGGUCAAUUAUGUUUUGAUAAAGAUGCAAACCUAAUUGAAGGAAGGAAGGCUAUCAUUUUAUUAAACAAUACUGGAAAAAUGGCUAACCUUAUGAAAAAGAACAUUGGUUCAUACCUUCACACCAUACAGAAAUGGUUCAUUAACAUCAAUUUAAAAUUAAAAACUAGUCAAUUUGUUAAAAAAAAAAAAACAGAAAAAAAUCUUUGAGACCUUUGGGUAAACAAAGAUUUCUUGGCUAUAACAGCAAAAUCAUGGUGCAUAAGAAAAAUAAAAGACAAACUGGACUUUAGCAAAAUGACAAACUUUUAUUCCUCAAGAUAAACUUUCAAAAAAAUUAAAAGAAAAACAUUUUCAAAACAUAUAUAUCAUAAAGGAUUUUCAUUCAGAAUAUAGUAAGUACUCCUAAAACUCAGAAACAAGAAAUCAAUCAAUCCUAUUAAAUUAUGGGCAAAAUAUCUGAAUAGAUAUUUCACUAAAGAAAAUAUGUGGAUGGCAAACAAGCACAUGAAAAGAUAUUCAACAUUAGUUGUCAUUGGUGAAAUUUAAAUUAAAGCUGCAAUGAAAUAUCACUGUGUACCUAUUAGAAUGACUACAUUUACAAAACAUGAAACAAACAAAAACCUGAGCACAGCAAGUGCUGGUGGGGAUGUAGGGCAGGCAGCUGAAACUCUCACUCAUUGCUGGUGAAGUGCAGAAUGGCGGAGAUGCUUUGGAAAAUAGUUUGACAGUUUCUUAAAAGUUUAAGCAUGUGCUUACCAUAUGCCCCAGUAAUCACACUCCUAGGGAUUCACCUAAUUAAAAUGAAAACCUACGCUCACGGACACAUCUUUAUGAGUUGGUUACAAUGCUUGUAUUUUGUAACAGGUAAAAACUGGAAACAACUCCGCUGGUGAAUAGAGAAACUGAGGUAAAUCCAUGCAAUGAAAUAUCAGUCAGCAGCAAAAAGGAACAGAACUGCUGACGCAUGCUACAGAAUGGAUGAAUCUUGAAUUAAUACGCCAAGUGAAAGAAACCGAUCACAAAAGGCUACAUUAUUGUAUGAUUUCAUUUAUAGGAUAUCCUGAAAAAAUAACACUAUAGGAGCAAAAAAUAGAUCAUGGGUUGUUGCCAGUUUUUGUGGGAUCAGGAGUGGUUAAUUGCAGCGGCAUGAAGGACUUUUUGGGGGUGAUGGAACUGCUCCAUCUACCCCUUGAUUGUGGAGGUGGUUUACACAACUUUAUGUGUUUGUCAAAACUCACAGACAUUUACAUCAAAAAACGUGAAUAUUAUUGUAUGCAAGCUUUGCCUCAAUUAACAAAAUACAGAAAAAACAAGAGGUGAGAAAAUGUUUGAAGGAAUGAAAAAUAGUUUCUUCAGAAUAAAAGAAAGAUAUAAGACCUGAGAUCAAAAGACGUCAUGGAUUGUAGCACAAACCAGAUAAGAAAAAAGUAAAAAUCAAAACCCCCUACACAUUGGCACAUAAUAGUGAAAUUUAAGAACAUCAAAGAAGAGAAGAUUCUAAAGUCUUAAGGGAGAAAGAGAUGAUAAUUUACAAUGGAACAAGAAAAAAACUGAUAUCACAGCCAACACCAGGUAAAAGAAUAAAAAGAUAGUGAUAUUUUCCAUGUUUUAGGUAAAGGACCUUCAAAUCCAGUACCCUGUGGCCAAAUAAACUAACAGUUACAUGUGAGAUUGUCACAAAGCUAUUCCCCAGCAUAAUAUUGGGUUUAAAAGAAUCCUUUUAAUGUUGUACAAAGAAUUACUUCAGCGGGAAGAGAAACACAUCUAUUAGUAAAUAAAUGCACACACUUACAUAAAAUGGUGAAUGAAUAGCUUAGUGAAGUUCACUGUUUUUAAAAAAGAAAGAAGCAAAACCAAUCUGUGAUAAUCAACCGAAAAUACCAAUAGGACACCAAUAGGGCAAAUGGGGCAGGAGUGAGAUGUGUGUAAUGGCAGAAUCAGAAGGGGGCAAAGUCUGGUAAUUUUUUCUAAUUUUGGUACAUAAAUAGUGAGAAAUGUCAAACGUUAUGUGUGGAAAAAUUUUAAAAAUGGGUAUUAAUAAAUUAAAAGCAAUAACUGGAGAAUAUACUUCCAAAUGAGCAGAAAAAAGAGUUUGGUUUACGCAAUAAAAACAUAGAAAGGACAAAAAGGAUUUUAAAAAUGAUAAUAUGGUAAAUAGAAAAUAUAAAAUAAAAGACCAUACAUAAAUCCCAAAUGAAUAUACAAAUGAAUUAAGCCACUCAGUAAAAUCAGAUAAGGUAAAAUUUGAGAUAAAGCACAUGUUGGGAGCAAAAGGGGAUGCUAUAUAAUAGUAGUAAGAAUAGAUCAAGAAGACCAAAAAAAUCACAAAUCUUAUGAACUAAUUUGCAGAGAUUCCAAAAACUAUAGGAAAUAUCUAUCUAUCUAUCUAUCUAUCUAUCUAUCUAUCUAUCUAUCUAUCAUCUAUCUAUCAUCUAUCUAUCUAUCUAUUUAUAUUUAAAUUCAAGUUAGUUAACAUACAGUGUAUAUAGCCUUGGAUUCAGGAGGGAUUCAUCACUUACAUAUAACAUCCAGUGCUCAUCCUGAAAAGUGCCUUCCUUAAUGCCCAUCACCCAUUUACCCCAUCCUCCACCCACCGCCCUUCCAGAAACCCUCAGUUUAUUCUCUCUAUUUAAGAGUCUCUUAUGGCUUGCCUCCCUGUCUCUUUUUAUCUUAUUUUUCCUUCCAUUCUCCUGUGUUCGUUCUUCUGUUGAGUUUCUCAAAUUCCACAUAUGAGUGAAAGCAUAUGAUACCCGUCGUUUUCUGAGUGACUUAUUUCACUUCGUAUAAUAGCCUCUAGUUCCAUCCACAUUGUUACAAAUGGCAAGAUUUCAUUUUUUUUUCAUUUUGGAGUAGUAUUUCAUUAUAUAUAUUAUAUAUAUAUAUAAUUCAAAUUUCAUUAUAUAUAUGUGUAUAUAUAUGUAUAUAUAUAUAUGUAUAUACACAAACCACAUCUUCUUUAUCCUUUCAUCACUCGAUGCACAUUAGGGCUGUUUUCAUAAUUUGGCUCUUGUCAAUAGUGCUGCUAUAAACAUUGAGGUGCAUGUGCCCCUUUGAAUGAGCAUUUUUGUAUCCUUCGGAUACAUUCCUAGUAGUAUAAUUGCUGGUUUGUAGGGUAGUUCUAUUUUUAGUUUUUUGAGGAACCUCCAUACUGUUUUCCAGAGUGGCUGCACCAGCUUGCAUUCCCACCAGCAGUGCAAAAGAGAUCCUCUUUCUCUGCAUCCUCGCCAACAUCUAUUGUUUCCUAAGUGGNNNNNNNNNNNNNNNNNNNNNNNNNNNNNNNNNNNNNNNNNNNNNNACUCGAUGCACAUUAGGGCUGUUUUCAUAAUUUGGCUCUUGUCAAUAGUGCUGCUAUAAACAUUGAGGUGCAUGUGCCCCUUUGAAUGAGCAUUUUUGUAUCCUUCGGAUACAUUCCUAGUAGUAUAAUUGCUGGUUUGUAGGGUAGUUCUAUUUUUAGUUUUUUGAGGAACCUCCAUACUGUUUUCCAGAGUGGCUGCACCAGCUUGCAUUCCCACCAGCAGUGCAAAAGAGAUCCUCUUUCUCUGCAUCCUCGCCAACAUCUAUUGUUUCCUAAGUGGUUAAUUAUAGCCAUUCUGACAGGUAUGACGUGGUAAGUGGUUUUGACUUGUAUUUUCCCGAUGAUGAGUGAUGUUGAACAUCUUUUCAUGUGUCUGUUGGCCAUCUGGAUGUCUUCUUUGGAAAGGUGUCUGCUCAUGUCUUCUGCCCAUUUCCUCACUGGAUUAUUUGCUUUUUUGGGUGUUGACCUUGGUAAGUUCUUUAUAGAUAUUGGGUAUUAAACCUGUAUCAUUUGUCAUUUGUAAAUAUCUUCACCCAUUCCAUCAGUUGCCUUUUACUUUUGUUGAUUGUUUCUUUUGCUGUGCAGAAGCUUUUUAUCUUGAUGAGAUCCCAAUAGUUUAUUUUUGCUUUUAUUUCUCUUGCCUCUGGAGCCAUGCCAAGUAUAAAGUUACUGUGGCCAAGGUCAAAGUGGUUGCUGUCUGUUUUCUCCUGUAGGAUUUUGAUGGUUUCCUGUCUCACAUUUAGGUCUUUCAUCUAUUUUGAAUUUAUUUUUGUGUAUAGUGUAAGGAAGUGGUCCAGUUUCAUUCUUGUGCAUGUUGCGUCCAGUUCUCCCAGCAUCAUUUGCUAAGAAGACUUUUUUUUUCCAUUGAAUACUUUUUCCUACUUUGUCAAAGAUAAGUUGGCCAUAUAUUAGUGUGUCCAUUUCUUGUCUUCUAUUCUAUGUGUCUAUUCUAUUGUCUUCUAUUCUUGUCUUCUAUUCAUUGAUCUAUGUGUCUCUUUUUGUGCAAUACCAUGCUGUCUUGAUGAUUACAGCCUUGUAAUACAGCUUGAAGUCUGGAAUUGUGAUGCCUCCAGCUUUGAUCAUCUUUUUCAACAUUACUUUGGCUAUUUGAGGUCUUUUGUGGUUCCAUACAAGUUUUAGGAUUGUUUGCUCUAGCUUUGAGAAGAAUGCUGACACAAUUUUGAUUGGGAUUGCAUUGAAUGUGUACAUUACUUAGAGCAGUAUCAACAUUUCAACGAUAUUUGUUCUUCCAACCCAUGAACAUGGAAUGUUUUUCCAUUUCUUUGUGUCCUCUUUAAUUUCUUUCCUAAGCUUUCUAUAGUUUUCAGCGUACAGAUCUUUUGCAUCUUUGGUUAUGUUUAUUCCUAGGUAUCCUAUGGUUUUUUGUGCAAUGGUAAAUGGGAUUGAUUCCUUUAUAUCUCUUUCUGCGGUUUCAUUAUUGGUGUAUAGAAAUGCAACCGAUUUCUGUACACUGAUUUUAUAUCCUGAAGCUUUGCUGAAUUCAUGGAUGAAUUCAUGCAUGGUUUUUUGGUGGAGUCUUUUGGGUUUUCCAUGUAGAGUAUCAUGUUAUUUGCCAAGAGUGAGAGUUUGACUUCUUCUUUGCCAAUUGGAUGACUUUUAUUUCUCUUUGUUGUUGGAUUGCUAACGCUAGGACUUCCAGUACUAUGUUGAACAACAGUGCUGAGAGUGGACAUCUUUGUCGUGUUCACAAAGCACGUGAGGGGGAAAGCUCUCAGUUUUUCCCUGUUCAGGAUGAUAUUAGUUGUGGGUCUUUCAAAUAUGGUCUUCAUAUGUUAAGGUAUGUUCCUUCUAUCCCUACUUUGUUGAGGGUUCUUAUCAAGAAAGGACACUGUAGUUUAUCAAAUGUUUUUUCUGCACCUAUUGAAAGGAUCAUAUGAUUCUUAUUCUUUCUUUUAUUAAUGUGGUGCGUCAUGUUGAUUGAUUUGCAAAUACUGAACCAGCCCUGCAGCCCACGAAUAAAUCCUACUUGAUCAUGGCGAAUAAUUGUUUCACUGUAAUGGUGAAUUCAAUUUGCUGGUAGCUUGUUGAGAAUUUUUGUAUCUGGGUUCAUCAGGGAAAUUGGUCUGUAAUUCUCCUUUUUAGUGGGGGCUUUGCCUGGUUUUGGAAUCAAGGUAAUGCUGGCUUCAUAGAAUGAGUGUGGAAGCUUCCCUUCCAUUUAUAUUUUUCAAAGACGUUUAAUGAUAAUAGGUAUAAACUCCUGUUUAAAUGUCUGUUAGAAUUCCCUGGGGAAGCCAUCUGGCCCAGGAAUCCUAUUUCCUGGGAGAUUUCUGAUAACUGAUUCAAUUUCUUUACUGGUUAUGGGCCUAUUCAAAUUUUCUACUUCUUCCUGUUUGAGUUCUGGUAGUAUGUGAGUGUCUAGGAAAAUGUCCAUUCCUUCCAGAUUGUCCAGUUUGUUGCCAUAAAUUUUUUCAUAGUAUUCUCUUAUAAUUUUUUGUAUUUCUGUAGUUUUGGUUGUGAUUUUUCCUCUUUCAUUUGUGAUUUUAUCUAUUUGGGUUCUCUCUCUUUUCUUUUUGAGAAAUGUAGCUAGGGGUUUAUCAAUGUUUUUAUUCUUUUAACAAAGCAGCUCUUAAUUGCAUUGAUCUGUUAUGGUAUUUUUUCUAUAUCAUUUAUUUCUGCUCUAAUCUUUUUUUUAUUUUCUUUCUUCUGCUGAUUUUGGGCUUUAUUUGUUGCUCCUUUUCUAGCUCUUUUAGAUGUAAGGUUAGGUUCUAUGUUUGGGACCUUUCUUGCUUCUUGAGAUAGGGCUUAAUUGCAAUGUAUUUUCCUCUUAGGACAACCUUUGCUGCAUCCCUAAGGGUUUGAACUAUUGUGUUCUCAAUUUCAUUUGCUUCUAUGUAUUUUUUUAAUUUCUUCUUUGAUUUCCUAGUAAACCCAUUCAUUCUUUAGUAGGAUGUUCUUUAACCUCCACAUAUUUGAGGGCUUUCCAAUUUUUUCCUUGUGGUUAAUCUCAAAUUUCACAGCGCUGCAAUCUGAAAAUAUGCAUGGUAUGAUCUCAGUCUUUUUGUACAUGUUAAGGGCUGAUUUGUGACCCAAUAUGUAAUAUAUUCUGGAGAAUGUUCCGUGUGCACUCAAGAAGAAUGUGUAUUCUGCUGCUUUAGGCUGAAAUGUUCUGAAUAUAUCUGUGAAGUCCAUCUGGUUCAAUGUGUAAUCAGAGGCAUUGUUUCCUUGUUGUUUUUAUGCUUAGAUGAUCUGUCCAUUGCUGUAAUUUUAGUAUUGAAGUCUCCUACAAUUAUGGCAUUAUUAUCAAUAAGUUUGCUUAUGUUUGUGAUUGAUUGAUUUACAUAUUUGGGUGUCAUCAAUUUGGGGGCAUAAAUAUUUACAAUUGUUAGCUCUUCUUGAUGGACAGACCCCUUAAUUAUGAUGUAAUGCCAUUUUUCAUCUCUUAUUACAGUCUUUGAUUUACAGCCAAGCUUGUCUGAUAUAAGCCUACUCCGGCUUUCUUUUGACAUCCAUGAACAUGAUAAAUGGUUCUCCAUCCCCUCACUUUCAAUCUGCAGGUGUCCUCAAGUCUAAAAUGCGUCUUUUACAGGCAGCAUAUAUAUGGAUCUUGUUGUUGUUGUUGUUGUUGUUGUUUUGUCCUUUCUGAUACCCUAUGUCUUCUGAUUGGGACAUUUAGUCCAUUUACAUUCAAAGAGAUUAUUGAAAGAUGUGAAUUUAGUGCCAUUGUGUUUUCUGUAGAUUUUGUUGUGGUGAUGUUCUCUGGUCCUUUGUAGUGUUUGCUGCUUUCCUCUCAUACAACCCUCCUUAGGAUUUUCUGCAGGUCUGGUUUGGUGGCACUAACUCCUUUAGUUUUUGUUUGUCUGGGAAAGUCUUUAUCUCUCCUUCUGUUCUGAAUGACAGCCUUACUGGAUAAAGGAUUCUUGGCUGCAUAUUUUUCCUAUUCAGCAUAUUGAAUAUUUCCUGCCACUCCCUUCUUGCCUGCCAAGUUUCAGUGGACGGGUCUGCUACUAACCUUACGUGUCUACCCUUGUAGGUCGAGGACCUUUUGUCUCUAGCUGCUAUCAGAAUUCUCUAUCUUUGUAUUUUGCAAGUGUCACUAUGAUUUGUCAUGGUGACCUGUUUUUGUUGAUUUUGAAGGGAGUUCUCUGUGCCUCUAGGAUUGGAUGCCUGUUUCCUUCCCCAGAUUAGGGGAGUUCUCAGCUAUAAUUUGUUGAAAUAAACCUUCUUCCCUUUAUUCUCAUUUUUCUUCUUCUGGGACUCCUAUGAUACGAAUAUUUUUCAUUUCAUGGCAUCACUUAGUUCUCUAAUUCUCCCCUUCUUGUGAUUUAGUAAUUUCUUCCCCUCUUUUUUAUGCUUUAUUAUGUUCCAUAAUUUUAUCUUUUAUAUCACUUAUUCUCCCCUCUGCUUUUUCACUGUACCCAGUUUAUUUUGCAUCUCAGUUAUACCAUUUUUUAAUUCAUUCUUACUAGUUCUUAGGUCUUUGAUUUGUGAAACAAGGGUUUCUCUGGUGUCUUCUAUGCUUUUUUCAAGCCCAGCUAUUAGUGUUAUUCUAUUAGAACAGCUAUUAGACUGUUAUUCUAAACUCUUAUUAAGAUAUAUUGUUAUAACUGUUUUGAGCAAUUGUCUAGCUGUGAUUUCUUCUUGACCUCUCUUUUGGGGAGAAUUCCUCCAUCUUGUUAUGUGUCCUGCACCUGAAAGUUCUGCUAUAUUAAAAAGGGGUCAUACACUGUCAAGGGCCUGGCACUCCAGGAAGUGUUUCUAGUGUAUGUUGCAUGCAUUCUGUUGUUGCAUUUUGGCUGCUUUAUCCCAGAGGUCAGCCCUUUGCAGAGCUCCUCCUUUCUUUCUAUGGUGGAGUGUUUGGAUCUUUAACCAGGAGUGCUUUGAUUUGUUUGUUUAAGAAACCCUGAAAAAAAGAGNAGAAAAAAAAGGGGGGGGGAGCCUGAUCCCAUAAAGAGAGAAAAAGGAAAGGGGAGAAAAGAAAACCAAACAGAGAAUCAAAAAAACUAUAAGGCUAAUUCAGGAGAAAGAGAAAGGGGAAAAAACAAAAAAGAAAGAAAAGAUGGAAAAAGAAUAGAGUAAAAAUGCUGGAUAUAUAUAUAUAUAUAUAUAUAUAUAUGUUAAGAAUUGACCAAAAAAAAAAAAAAAAAUCAAACUAAGAGACUGAUUCCAAAAGAAAAAAAGGAGGAAAGGAAAAAAAAAUUGUCUGUUGUUGCCUGGGGCUGGUGGAUGUGCUGGUCUGGAGGAGAGGCUGGCUACGUUGGAUCAGUUAGUCUUACUUCAGUAAAUAACCAGCUGCCAGGCACAGAGGGGUGGGAUAGGUGUAAGCAGGUCCUGCCUCGACUGGGGGCUGCUGUGCUGCUCUCUGAAGUCCCACUGUUACUGGUGGAGGGGAGGCAUUUCAUCACCCCAAUCUCUCACCCCUGGACUAGGGCUCUCAACCCACACUGUUCAGGCAGCUCUCACAGAAUAGUGAGGAUGGUCAGCUUGCCCUGAGUCACAGUUCUUUUGAGCUUCUCCUUGUCUCUCAGCUGGAACUAAAAACCCAAUGUAAAUGACCCCACACUGUGCAGAUCUUCUCCCCUGUUCCGGAGUAGAGCCUCUCCACCCUGCUGAUGAAAGGCCUUUGGUGGCACCUGCAGGGUCGUUUGUCCUUGGGGAGGCAAUAACCCUUCUUCCCAAAGUACUCCAGGAAGGGGUCUGUUCUCUCCCAGUGCAUUCUGGAGAUCACUACACCAUACUGUUCACUCCGGGGUCAGCUCCCUCCUCCCCAGGAGCACACAGCACAGCUCCCCUCCAGAGGAAGUUGCAUACUUUCAAAACCUCUGAGUUUUAGCUCCAAAGGCUGUUUGCAAAAAAAGAACUAGCAUUCUCCAUACUUCUCAUUCCCCAGUCCGAGUUCCAGAGAGGUUUUCCCCUUGUGGUAACUCAAUGCCGCACUUUCACAACCCCUCUCUCUUUUGCUCCCUUUUGUCUCUCCACAGAAAAGGUUCUCUCCCCUCCAUAGCUAUGCCAUUUUAUCUCCACCAAUUCACGUACAUACACCUCAAUCCUGCCAAGAUGUCUCCCUCCAACUGUGAAGAUCCUCCUCCACUCCUGAUGUAUUUCCUGGGUGUUCCAUGUAAUCCGACCUCAAUAUAACUGUGUUUGAGGGAUGAGGAAAAUCCAGAUCUCCUUACUUCUCCACCAUCCUAACUUCUCUCCUGAAUAGCAAAUACUCUUUUUUUUUUAAGUCUUUUUUUUUAAAUGCUUAUUUACUUGAGAGAUAAAGAGAGAGAGAGAGGGAGGGAGAGAGCACAAGCACNGGUAGGGGGGGUGGGGCGGGGUCAUAGAGAGAGACACACAGAAUCUGAAGCAGGCUCCAGGCUCUGAGUUGUCAGGGCAGAGCCCGAUGCAGGGCUAGAAUCCUUGAACUAUGAGAUCAUGACCUGAGCUGAAGUCAGAUGCUUAACCAACUGAGCCACCUAUGCACCCCAGCAAAUAUUCCUAAUGGAAGUUUCAUUUUCAGAUUAGGAAAAAAAACAAGGCUGCUUGUUAUCACUACUCCUUUUUGGCAUAAUACUGAAUAUUUUACCCGACGCCAAAAGACCAGAAAAAGAAAUGUCUUAUAAGCAUAAGAAAGAAGAGACAGACAAUGGAGAAGACGUGAUAACCACACAGUAAAUCUGUAAAAUCAACUAUAGGAAAUCAAAGCUACAUUGAAGUUACAUAUUCUGUAAUGGGUUGUUGACAGAAAAUACAUUGAACAUAUACUUUAAAUUAGACAAGUACAGAUGUGAUGUUUAAUUUUAUUAUUGAAAAUAGUUCUUUAAAUAAAAAUAAGAAGCAAAAACAAAGGCUUGUACAUAUGAAGUGAAGAAAGGUAGCAAAAAUUUAGAAAAACAAAGAUUAGGAAAAUAUUUGACAAGAAACUAUUAGGUUGUUAUUAAUUAAAUCUUUUCCAAUAUAUUGUAAUUUUUAAAUUACUGCAUCUCUGACUAGUAAGAUUUUGUUAAUUUAUUUCUUUUAUUUUCAUGCCAUUUUCUUUUUUUUUUUUUUAAUUUUUUUUCCUUCAACGUUUAUUUAUUUUUGGGACAGAGAGAGACAGAGCACGAACGGGGGAGGGGCAGAGAGAGAGGGAGACACAGAAUCGGAAACAGGCUCCGGGCUCCGAGCCAUCAGCCCAGAGCCUGACGCGGGGCUGGAACUCACGGACCGGGAGAUCGUGACCUGGCUGAAGUCGGACGCUUAACCGACUGCGCCACCCAGGCGCCCCUUUCAUGCCAUUUUCAAAGACAUGAAAACAAUCCACAAACUUUUGCCACUAGUGUUAUUUUUCUUCCAUUUAAGAGUUGCUGACUAAUAACAAAAUAAAAUUUGAUUUGCAUGUUUUCUGUAUACUUCAAGCCAUAUUUGAGUAAGUGCACUCAAGCAUGAUAAAAUAUCAUAAAAGAAGGUAGCAAGGAGUGUGUGGGUGGCUCAGUUAGCUAAUCUGGGUCUUGAUUUCGGCUCAAGUCAUAAUCUUACAGUUCAUGAGAUCAAGCCCUAGCAUAGAGCUCUGAGCUGGUAGCUCAGAGACUUCUUAGCUUCCCUCUCUCUUUUCCCCUCUCCCCAGUUCUCUGUCUGUCUGUCUGUCUCUCUCAAAAUAAAUAAAUAAACAUUAAAAAAAGAAGGUAGCAAGACUGAGAAAAAGUUAAAUUAGAUCAUAAAUCACAAACUAUAAAUUCUAUAACCUAUUAAGUAGGACUAUCCUGAUCUGAGAAAACAGAAGCUAAAGAUUUGGGGUAAGAAAACUACCAUAUUUUCAUUGCCCUGAUGGGGAUCAUAGACUAAUUCAAAAACAUGUAAAAAUCUCUAUACCCAUUGUUUUAUCAGCCAUGACCUUACCGUCAAGAUCUGUGGAUGCAUUCAAUUAACCAAAACAUUGUUUUUGGCUAAAGAAAACAUCCAAUUUCUGACAUGGCAUGUUUAAACCAAGCCUUUCUUUCUUGUCCAUUUAAAUGUAACAAUGUCCAGGUAUGUAUUUCAAAAGCUCACUUCUUCAAGAAACUGUACUCAGUUUACAUAUUGUAAACAUCUGUCCUUUAUAAGGUAUUGUUCUCUGCCUUCUCCCUCUGAUUCAUUUCUCCUUUUUUCCACCCUGGACAGUGUUGCUCUUGGCAUAGUGUACAGAUUAAAUAUUAUCCUUUUUUUUCAGUCCAUUUCCUUCUCUGAGGGAGAAAACCAUAUUAAUAAUUAUACAUUAUGUUCUUAUAUUCAUAUAGUAUAUUUGAUAUGUCAAGUUUAUAAACAAGGUUUGCCUUACUUUAUCACUUAGAUUUAUUGGGGAACCAAAAUAUCUUAAUGAUUGCCAAAAUUUUAAAUAUAUGAUUCAGCUCUCCCUCUUAUUUUUUUAAUUUUUUUUUUAAGAUUUUGCAUUUUUUUUUGAAGUAAUCUCUGUAACCAGCAUGGGGCUCACAUUUACAACCCUGAGGUCAAGAGUUGUAUAUUCCCCCCAACUGAGCCAGUCAGGUGCUCCUUAGCUCUCCCUUUUGAGUUCCAAAUCCACAUUUCCUUAUUUCUACUUACUUUUUUAAAGUUUAUUUAUUUAUUUUUGAGAGAGAGAGAGAGAGAGAGCACAAGUGGAGGAGGGGCAGAGAGAGAGGGGGGAGACACAGAAUCUCCAGGCUCCAAGUUGUCAGUACAAAGCCUAAAGUGGAGCUGAAACUCAUGAACCAUGAGAACAUGACCUGAGCCAAAGUCAGACGCUCAACCGACUGAGCAACCCAGGUGCCCCAUUUCUAAUUAAUUUUGUUAUUGUAUGCCUCAGCAGCACUUGACCCUCAAUGCAUGGCUAUUUAUUAUCUUUCUUUCUAGAUAUCGGCUCUUCAUAUUCUUUUUCUCAGUCUGGUCAAUAGACUCAUCGCCAAUGUUAAAAUAAUCAAAGAGAGCAAUUUAGUUGAUAUAAACAAAUUGUAUGUCACACCUUAAGAAGUGUGCAGUCUCUACUCUCAAGAGUCCAGAGAAUUACAAAGUAAGGGGAAAGGGCUGCAAGCUUUAUAGAAAAAAGGAAAGCUGGAAACAAGAGAGUCAUACUCAGCCUCACUUGACUGGCUGGGGCUGCGUAUCCGAUCUUAUUUAGAAAGAUCAAGGAACACCAAAGCAAAUGUAGUGCCCAAAGGUGUCUUGACUUUUGAGAAUUGACUGGCUGGGUAGAGAGAAUAGACCGACUGAGAUCAUGUUUCUGGUCGAGCAAAGCAUUUAUAGGAGUAGGAAUUCUCUUAGUUUCAGUUUGCUGAUGGGACACUCUGGGCAAGAACAGUUCCAUCUUGGGCCUAGAAAUUUAUUCAAUACCAAGAUGUUCAAGUUAGGGAGGCAUCAUUUCAGAAGCUAGUGUAAUACUGUGAGGCAUGGGGGAAAGUGUAGUGUACUUAGGUGUGAAACAGCAAUGGGUCGAAUCCUUACAGUGUGACUUUCUAAAUGUGUGCUUUAACCUGGUUUACAAAUCUGGAAAAUCAGAAGAAUAAAACUCACUUUAUGAGUCUGUUGUGAGAUUUAUAUGAGCUAAUGUGUGUAGAAUGUUCUGUAAACAGCAGUAAUUAUCAAGAUCAUUUUUCAUCUUUCCUUUAGCAACAGCAUAUUCUUGGUUAAAGUAUUUGUACUUUCUUACACUCUCUCAGAUCUUUUUCUUUCUCCCUUCUUUCUAGCACUUCCCUGGCUCAUCUCUCAUCUAGAUUACAUCACUAAUGACCCCGUCUCCCCGUCUAUGUUCCACACCUGUGUACCUCCAUCCAUCCUCUACACUGAAAGAAGUGAUCAUAAUCAAGUGCCAUUCUGCUUUUAUUGCCUGGCUCUUUAAAAUCCUUCAACUGGUUCUAGAAAUGAAAGAGAACACCCUGUGUUAGUAAGCAUGCCAGCAAAUGGCAUCUCAUAGUUAGUAAUGGGAAUGAAAAUUGGUAUUUUUCCAGAAAGCAAUUUGUCUUAUGUACCAAACACCUUUAAGUAGUACUUCCUGGCCCAGCAGUGCCACUUACAUUUUUUUUUUCUGAACUAAAACAAGAAAACAUGCUCUGGAUUUCUGGCAAAGCUUCUUUUGUGGCCGAACUUUAAAUUUUUUUUUUUCUAAUUUAUUUUUGAGAGAGAGAUGGAGAGACAGAGCUCGACCAGGGGAGGGAAAGAGAAAGGGAGACACAGAAUGUAAAAUAAAGCAGGUUCUAGGCUCUGAGUUGUCCACACAGAACCUGAUGCGGGGCUCAAACUCAUGAGCCAUGAGAUCAUGACCUGAGCUGAAGUUGAACACUUACCCAACUGAGCCACCCAGGCACCCCGUGGCCAAACUUCUAAAACCCUUCUCAAUAACUCAGCAAUAUGUUAGAAGAAAAACAAGACUAGGAAAUAUUAAUAAUUAAAAAGAAAACUCCUUUUAUUAGUGCCAAGAGUACAAAAUGGCAACAAUAUAUCACAAAACCAAAGAAAUGUGUGCAAGUCUAGAGAAAAUUCAAUCAGCUCGAAAGAACCAAGACUGACGAAGAAUUUACGGUUGUAGAAAGGUGGAGAAAAUUCUGGUGAGAAGUGGGACAUAUGGUUGAUUUCAAGAGAAGUGGGGACACUAUUUAUCGCCCAUUGCUCCAGGUUACUAACACCUCAAGCCUAUUAAAAGCAGGACUGUGGUAUAAGACCUGUGGUCAAGCCACAUGAUUAUUUGCAGAUAGAAUUUAAAGCACAUUUAAUUUUCUUCUUUAUGUUUUCCCCAUUUAAAAUUUUUCAUUGAUGAAUAGGAAUUAAUUUAUGGAAUGGAAUAAAACAACAAAAUAAAUAAAAAUCAAUAAAUAUAUCUUGGUGGCUCUUGAAUAUCCUUCCUAUAGAAAAAACAGGUAUCUUCUCCCGGUUUUCUACUGUUGCUAGGCUGAAAUAUUUAGUUUUCCAGAACAUGAUAUUCUCUUUUUCUCUUCUAUAUCUUUGCAACUGCUUUCUCCUGCAAUUGUCUAGGGAGCUUCUUGUAACCAUUUGUUACUCAACUAAAAUUUACCUCCUUCAUGAAAUAUUCUGUGACACGUUUGGGCGUAAUAUAUGUUUCCACUUUUGUGAUCCCAUUGUGCUCUGUCAACAUCUCAGUUGUGGUACUUACACACGGUGUCUUCUUUGUGUACAUUCUUCCUCCUGCACCAUGAGAGCUAUGGGACAGCAGGCAUUGUGUCACUUUAAACUUCGUGUGAAAUUUACUACAUAUUUUUUAAACCAACACAGGAAACAGGCAUUCAUAUUUCCCAUUUUCCAGUCUCUUCAUUGAGCUGAGGGGGCACAUUUCUCGCAAUAUUGCCUAGAGGACAUUUUGUUUUUUUUAAAUGUAUCAUUGUAUAUUACAUUUCAAAAUAGUAUUUAACUGCUUUUUAUCCAUUCUACAUUUAUUUAUAUUCCAUUUAUUCUUCCAGAGCAAGGAGAUCAUGUUUCUUGUGUUUGACUUGCUUCACAUGCACGAUAAGUUGUAGGCACCUGGAUUCACUUAAAUUGUUUCGCAAUACAAUGACCUUAUUUUCAUUCCAUCAAAAAUAAAAGCUAUUACAAUUACGAAGUGUAUUUAUUUCCCUGAUGUGGAUGUAAAGGGCUUUACAAUACACUGUGCAGAGGUGGGCACCCUUACAAAGGCUCAGGAAAACAAACUGAUUGCUUUUUUGGUUUUCUCUGUGCUCACCUGCCAAGAAACAUUCUGAGCUGAAGGUUAGAGUUUAGGAGAUUAGAUUUAUGGAAAUUAGAAAUAUGUUCCCAUGCAGAAUGUUUUGUUAAAAGAUUUUAUGCUCCUAUUUAGUGAAUCUUAGGCUUAUUUAAAGUAAACCACUAAGUUCUUCCCAGAACCUCAACUAAACCCAAUCUUUGGAGAAAAAUGUAAGCCAAAAAAAAAAAAAAAGUUUAAUUUUUAAGUAAGAGGUGAAUUUCAAAAAAAAAUGCUUAAAGAUUUUGAUUUUAUUCUGGAAAUUAUUAUUUUUUUUAACAAAACCAUUAAUUUGGUCCUUUCCAUAAUUUAGACAAACUACUUUUCACAGUCUGCCAUCUUUUUGACAAAUUAGAAGGGUCAAGAUUUUUAUGAAGUCAUGGACCCUGUCAGAACACUUCUAGGUUUGCAUUUUUUUUUCCAGCUAAGAGUAACAAUAUCCACAAAUCAUACUUCAACUAAGAUUCUUACCUGAAAUUGCCUUGAAAUAAGUGAAAAUAUGACAGAAGUUUUUCUCAAGGUAUGCAACAUGUUACUCUCCAAGUUUGGCUGAAAUCUGAAAUCAGUGUGAGCCUUGACAGAAAUGAAAGAGGAGAAGGGUGAGGAGAGGGGAGAAGAAGAGGUCAAAGAGGAGGAAGAGGAAGAAAUCUUCCAUUAAGUAGAGGUCAAAAGUACUUUGCCAAAAUGUGAGUUUGCAUUGUAUUAAAUCAUAUUUUAUCAAAAUCUGUGUUCUUAGUUUUCAUUGUGAUUCCCGGUGUUAUCUGUGAAUCACUGGAAUAACCACAUGAACACAUACUAAAGAUUACGAUGCAAGUAACACAAUUCCAUUUCCAGCUUUCAGAAUUACCGUGUUGGCAGUUUGACAGCUUUUUUAGGCCAAGAGUAAAGGGAAAACAAAUUUCCACGGAACUAUUGUUUCUUUCAAACACAUGAUCCAGACUUGCACAGAACCAUCGUAAUUGCCAUUCACACUAAAGAAAUGCAACUUUGUUAUAGGAAAUUUGGCGGUGGUGUUAAAAUGAUUGGUGUGCAAAGAAAUUAUUUUUCCUUAUGUGUUUCCUGAAGUAAUGGGUUAAAUACUAUGAUACGCUGUGGGCAUGUCACAAGUUGACUCAGUGACUCACAUGUUGGCAGUGGCCAAGUAAAUAGAGCUACUGUGUCUGAAGAGAACAGGUAGCUAGCUGCUUUCUCGACCGUUCAAUAUGGAAGGUAGCGUUAAAGAAUUUCAAAACGAAGAAUAUUUGCAAAGACUUGAUUUCUGGAUCUUUGAAUUUUGUUACAAGAUUUUUCAUUAAAAUAGAAUGGAAACCUAAACUUCAAAACCAAGUUUUGCGACAUGUGAGGUUUUUAUUUGCCUUCCCCAGUCCAUCCUUUUAAUUUUUUGAGGUUAAUCACUUUGACAUAUUUUUGGAUUUCCUGUAUUGUAGAUUCCCGUAGGAUAUUAAAAGUAUAUUUUAAAAUUAUUUUUUUCGACAGAGGAAUGUCCUAUUUCCAGGAUAUAUUCCAACAUAAGAUAGUAGAGCUGGAUAUUAAGCGGACGAGCCUCACUAUUCAAGAUCUCAGUCUGGGAAAAUUUACUUAACAAUUGUUAGUUAUAAGUAAUUUCUCUUGAGGAAUUUGGAAAAAUAAAACUCUUCAGAGUUGUUAAUUGUACUAGAAAUUUCAUGUACUACCUUGGGCUUACUAGAAAGCAUACUGGCUUUUCUAAAGUCACACAAUACAAAAUCUAUGUACAGAAAUCUGUUACAUUUCCACACUCCAAUAAUGAAGCAGUAUAAAGAGAAAUCAAGGCAUUGAUCCCAUUUACAAUUACACCAAAGACCAUAGGACAGCUAGGAAAGAACCUAACCAAAGAGGUGAAAUAUUUAUGCUCUGAAAACAUAAAACACUUAUGAAAGAAAUUGAAGAUGACACAAAAAACUGGGAAAACAUUUCAUGCUCAUGGGUUGGAGGAACAAAUAUUGUUAAAAUGUCUAUACCACCCAAAGCAUUCUACGCAUUUAAUGCAACCCCUGUCAAAAUACCAACAGCAUUUUUCACAGAGCUAGAAAAAAUAAUCCUAAAAUUUGUAGGGAACAAUAAAAGACCUCAGAGAGCCAAAGCAAUCAAAAGAGAAAAGCAAAGCUGGAGGCAUCAACAUUCUGGACUUCAAGUUAUAUUACAAAACCGUAGUCAUCAAGACAGUAUGGUACUGGCACAUAAAUAGACACAUAUUCCGGAACAGAAUAGAAAACCCAGCAAUGAACCCACAGCCAUAUGAUCAACUAAUUUUCUACAAACCAGGAAAAAGAAUAUCCCAUGGAAAAAAUUUUCUUCAACAAAUGGUGUUGGGUAAACUGGACAGAAACAUGCAAAAGAAUAAAACUGGACCACAUUCUUACAUCAUACACAAUAAUAACUUCAAAAUGGUUGAAAGACCUAAAUGUGAAACAGGAAACCAUCAAAAUCCUACUGGAGAAAAUAGUCAGUUACCUCUUGGACAUUGGCCAUUGGCCAUAGCGUCUUCUUACUAGAUAUGUCUCUUGAGUCAAGGGAAACAAAAGCAAAAUGAACCAUUGGGACCUCAUCAAGAUAAAAAGCUUCUGCACAGCAAAAGGAAACAAUAAAAUUAAAAGGCAGCCUAUGGAAUGGGAGAAGAUAUUUGCAAAUGACAUAUCUGAUAAAGGGUUAGUAUACAAAAUCUAUAAAGAACUUAUCAAACUUAAUACCCCCAAAAUCAAAUAAUCCAGUUAAAAACUGGGCAGAAGACAUGAGUAGACAUAUUUCCAAAGAAGAUAUACAGAUGUCUAACAGACACAUGAAAAGAUGAUUAAUAUCACUCAUCAUCAGGGAAAUACAAAUCAAAACUACAAUGAGCUAUUACCUCACACCAGUAAGAAUGGCUAAAAUUAACAACACAGGAAACAACAGGUGUUGGGAGGAUGUGGAGAAAGGGGAACCCUCUUGCACUGUUGGUGGAAAUGCAAAUUCAAAGUAUUUAUUGAAUCUUACUAUCAUUAUUAUCACGAUUCUUUUUUUCGGUAUUUCCACACAUAAGGUAAACUUUCCUUUUCUGAGGGAGAUUUUAUCUCAAUCCUUUCUUACAUCUUUUGCACAUUUUUUAAGAAUCUCUGUUCUCUGCAAAUGAUUACAAAAAGAGUUCAAAAGUUGGCUGUGCUGAAACUUUUUCUUAUUUUUCUACUUAGAGAUAACUUGUCUGUCUUCUAGUUUUGCUGAAGGUGUGAGUUUUGUAUGGUUUUGUUCAUUCUUUUAGCUGUUUGGAGGUUGUUUGGAGAGAUUUGGAUUAGGUAGCUGACAUUACCUCAACUGUUCAGUACUCUUAGGUGCAAAGACAUUGAAGGCUGGCAUUGAAGUUCCUUAAACCAAGAGGAAUUGUCUUUAUUUGUAAAAUGAUAAAGCUUAAGAAGCUACUUUUUGGUAUAACAAGAAAACCCAAUGGCAUGGAUAUUAAGAAAAUAAAAAGGAGGAAGAGCCAAUAUUUUCUGUAAGGGUGAUGAACGGAUGCUAGGAAAACAAUGUGGAAAGAGUAGACGAAAGGAGGAAGGUGCAGAAAACUGACCACACAAUAUGGCAGACAUCCACUGAGGAAAUGGACCAUAAGAAAUUACUGAAGGCAGGUCAAAGAAAUAUAAAGAUUGAGAAUGUCAAUAUCAAAAGUAAAAAAAUUUUUGAAGCCAUGUAAAUAAACUUUUCUCUCAUUCCAAAUCAUAAAUUAACAUAUGACAUGUGCAAAUGCUGUGGGCAUGCAGAUUGUAGGGCUAUUCAAAUGAAAGAUGUUAUCUCUUGUGUCUUAGUUGGGUAGAAGGCAGGGGACAUGAGAAUAGAUAUAGGGAAUCUGAUGCCAAUGGCAUUAGCAGUCCAGGAGGGCAGAUAGGCAGAGCCACAGUAACCAUGAAGAUAUGAACAUUAGGAAAUCUCAGAAAUCGUGGGAAAGGUAGUCGAUUUCCCAUAGAAGUGGCAUAAAGUGCUUGAAUCAAUAUUGUCUUUCAGGGGCACCUGAGUGGCUCAGUUGGUUAAGCACCCAACUUUGGCUCAAGUCACGAUCUCACGGUUUGUGGGUUCGAGCCCUGCGUCGGGCUCUGUGCUGACAGCUCAGAACCUGGAGCCUGCUUUGGAUUCUGUGUGUGUCUCUCUCUCUCUGCCCCUCUCCCACUCACUCUCUGUCUCUGUCUCUCACUCUCUGUCUCUGUCUCUCAAAAAUAAACAUCAAAAAAUUUUUUUUUAAAUAUUAUCAGACUUUCAAAUGUCAGGAUGUGCUCAGUCAAUAUAUUCAUCACAAUAUAUUUAACAUAUUAAUUAAUAUAUUAAGAUUCUCUGCCAUUUGAACAGAUAAACAAAAUUCAGACUACUUAAGUUCGAGUUUAUAAGCAUAUUUUGGUCUUAUCAUUCAACAAAGAUAUAUGUACUCAUCCAUGUGAAUAUUUCAGCGUAUUAAAUUUGUCUCCUUAAUUAAGAUAGUCCAAUUGUGUGGUAAGUACUCAAAUUCUGCUUCUCUUAUAAGAUCUCAGAAAAAAAAAAGAGAAUUAGAUAGGAGCUGUGAAGCAGGCUGAGUCAGCCACAGACAUAUUUGAUGGACUGAAGUUAUAUUAGGAAGGGGACACAAGGACAUGUAUAAGUGUAGGUCACACUCUGGGCCUGUUGUGCUUGAUGUUAUAUUCAUUCUUGAUACAAUGACCCCACUGAUGAUUAUCCAUCUCAGAACAGGAAAGGACAGGAACUGGCAAGGUGGUGCUCUGAUCCAAGACUCAUUUACUAGUAAUCAGUAAAUCAUCUCCCACAGAGAGCAUGCUUCAGGACAGUCAUGAGAGAACAAAUAAAAGGAUGGGCAAUGUGUUCUGUUCUGUAUUUUCCAUUAUUUUCUGUCUAUGGUACCCAAGAAAUUGGUUCUCUUUUCCUUUGCUGGAUAUGAAAGAUGCAUAGAACACAGAGAGAUUUUAAUGAAAAUACGUGUAAAUUAGUCAGAAGAUAUUCUGCAAUAGACUGAGGAUAUUUGUAAAGAAGCAUAUUCCAGGGGCCCCUGGGUGGCUCAGUGGGUUAAGCAUCCAACUUCAACUUAGAUCACGAUCCUGCAGUUUGGGGGUCUGAGCCCCAUGUCAACCUCUGUGCUGACAGCUCAGAGCCUGGAGACUGCUUUGGAUUCUGUGUUGCCCUCUCUGCCCCUCCCCUGCUCAUGCUCUUUCUUUCUCUCAAAAAUAAACAUUAAAAAAAGAAAGAAACAUAUUUCUAUACUGUGGCAACGAUUAAACCCAUCUUGUUCAUCAGAAUUAGCCAAAUACAUAAAUGACUUACGUGGUGUGGUGUUUGUAAAGGGUUAUAACGUCCCUUAAUGAGAGGUAUGGUAAGCCACUUUUGUUAACUCUCAGUGGAUCCACUUUUACCUCUUACUGAUCUUAGCUUAGUUUCAUGGAAAUAAUGCAAUUAUGUUCCAGCCUUCCGUUAAUUUUUGGUAACCUUGAUCAAGUUUUGCAGUUUCCACAUCUAUAAAAUUAGGUGGAAAAAGUACAUAAUAUCAAUGAUUACUUUCUGCCUCAGAUCAGGGAUUCUGGGUCUUUUCUCUCAAUUAGAUUACAGGAGCAAGCCAUCACCUCUAAGGAGAACCAUACUGCUAUUCUUUAGGAGAGUCAGAUAGAAAAAAAAUAUCUAUAUCUAUCUAUCUAUCUAUCUAUCUAUCUAUCUAUCUAUCUAUCUAUCUAUAUAGAUAGAUAUCCCAGCUUUUCUACUCAUUAGCUUUGCAAACUCAGACAAAUCACUUAACCUCUCAAAAAGUUUCCUUAUCUACAAAAUUGUAAGAAAGCAAGUUAUAUCCUUAAGGGGUAGGUGAGAGGAUAAAAUGAGGUCAACCCUGUAAAGGGCCUACAUACAAUAUUGGAUACUUAAUAAGUUGUUAUUAAAUGAUUAUUUUCUUCUGUACUUCAAAUAUGCUGUCAUGGUUCCAGAUGGAGCUCUAAUUAUCAGGCCUGCAAACCAAGUAGUAUGUCCGUGAGUACUUCACUCAUUUUAUUUUUACAAACUUCAUAAUCAUUUAACCAAACACUUCUACAGUCAUCCCUUCUGAUUACCUUUCCUAACCCUGAUUCCUCACAUGGUAAUUAUGCACAUGGUAAUUAUGUUAUUUCUGCCAGUCAGAUUGCCACUAACUGGCCUCUGCCAUUCUGAGAUUAUUCCCUCCCUAUUGAAAUAAUGGCUCUAACUUCAACUGUAAGCCCUCCCGUCAACAUCUCUGGCGUUUGUAAAUUAGACACAGAAAGUCCUUUUCUUCAGCGAUAGAGGUUCUCCACUCACCAGUGUUUGCCCAGAGCCCUUUGGUGAAGGGAGUGUUUUUUAAGCUUUCUUAGAAAUCAUAGUUGUGGGUUGGUAGAUGGGUAAUACACAUCAUAAACCUUCCCCGGAAUUUCAUUUUACCACAUCUUUCACUAUGUUUCUUUAAUUUAUAUCAAUGAAUUUAUAGUGUCACAACUUGACAUAUAUGGGUUUAAUUUUUCUAGUCAAACCAACCAUGAGAACCACUUCCGUGUGCUACAAGUACCACAUUGAAUCCAGAAUCUCUGUGAAGGGGCACUGAUAGUGAUGCAUUUAAAUCCACAUUUAUUUUUUAAUCCUUAUUCUUUUAAUGUUUAUUUUUGAGGGGGGGGUGCGGGGGGAAGCAGAGCCUGAGUUGGAGAGCGGCAGAGAGAGAGGGAGACACAGAAUCCGAAGCAGGCUCCAGGCUCUGAGCGGUCAGCACAGAGCCCAACACGGGGCUGGAACUCAUGAGCCUCUAGAUCAUGACCUGAACUGAAGUUGGAUUCUUAACAGACUGAGCCACAUUCGGGUGCCCCUAAAUCCACAUUUAAAUCCCUCCUUCUUAUUUACCCAAGGGAUACGGGAGUACUGAUGCAUAGGGGCACUUGUACCCCAAUGUUUAUUUCUAGCAGCACUCUCAACAAUAGCCAAAUUAUGGAAAGAGCCUAAAUGUCCAUCAACUGAUGAAUGGAUAAAGAAAUUGUGGUUUAUAUACACAAUGGAGUACUACGUGGCAAUGAGAAAGAACGAAAUAUGGCCCUUUGUAGCAACGUGGAUGGAACUGGAGAGUGUGAUGCUAAGUGAAAUAAGCCAUACAGAGAAAGACAGAUACCAUAUGGUUUCACUCUUAUGUGGAUCCUGAGAAACUUAACAGGAACCCAUGGGGGAGGGGAAGGAAAAAAAAAAAAAAGAGGUUAGAGUGGGAGAGAGCCAAAGCAUAAGAGACUUAAAAACUGAGAACAAACUGAGGGUUGAUGGGGGGUGGGAGGGAGGGGAGGGUGGGUGAUGGGUAUUGAGGAGGGCACCUUUUGGGAUGAGCACUGGGUGUUGUAUGGAAACCAAUUUGACAAUAAAUUUCAUAGAUUGAAAAUAAAUAAAUAAAUAAAUCCCUCCUUCUUUGAUCAGCAUUCUCAGAAUCAACUGUUUCACCAGAUUCCAAUAUUUAUGAAAACUUCACAAAAAUCCUGUGAUACUUUUGGUGUGUAAACAUUCCCUUCCGGAUUUAUUCUGUAAUUGGCACGCUGGAGUAUCUCUUUAUACAUUCAAUACAUAUCUGUGAAAUGUCAACCCCAUGCCAGAUGCUAUUCUCAGAACUGGAAAUAUGAUAAGGAGCAGAGCAGAACACAAAUCCCCGUCCUCAUGGAACUCUCACUGUAGCAUGGGAGAGAUAAAAGAAAGUGAUAAACAAGAAAAAUAGAUAUCAUGGUGUAUUUGAUGCCUCUAAGAGAGAAAUGAUGGAUGGAAGGACCGUGUAAGGAAUAUAUGCAUGACAUUUUAAAUAGGAUGGCUACCAGGAAAGCUCACGUUGACAGAAUGUAGAUUUUGAGUGAAGAAAAGGAAGUCAUGAGAUAGUGAGCUAUGCAUAUAUCUGAGAGGGAAUGGCAAGUGCAAAAACCCUGGGGUGGGAGUACCCCUGAUAAAUUAGGGGAACACUAAAUAGGCCCAUAGACUUUAAGCAGAAAGAGUGAGAGGAAAGUAUUAAGACACGGAAUCGGAAAGAUAAUGGGGACUAGGUCAUGUAGGGCCUGUGGGCACUAGCAAGGGCUUUGGCUUAUAUUCUGCAUGAGACGGGAAGCCGUAGGGUAGAAUUUGAACAGAGGAGUGACACCUGAUUUACCUGUACAGGAUCGUUAAAGUUGCUCUUAUGACACCAAUGAGUGUUUUGGGGAAGGGGAUGCAGGGAGAUAAAAUUGAUCAAGUGAAGGGCUAUGGAGACCAUUGGGAGGUUAUUGCAAUAAUUCAGAAGAGAUUAUGGUGGCCUGGACCAGGUGGCAGCAGUGUGCGUGGUUAGGGGUGUCAGAUUCUAGAAAUACACUGAGGACAGAGUGAACAGGAUUCACACGUGGGCUGUAGUAGAAAGAGAGGAGUAAAGAUGACUUCGGGAGUUCUGGCCGAGGAAUCGAAAAAUUGCUGAAUUCCUUUACUGAAAUAGGAGAGACGGUAUGAGGAUCUAGUUUGGUAGGGAUUUUCAGGAACUCAGAUUUGGACAUGUUAGGUUUGCGACAUUUUAAAGGAAACAGUAGGAAAUUAGGUUUGCGUUUGGCCAUUAGGCUUUGUGAUUCAGCAUGUAGAGGAUAUUUAAAGGCAGGGAACUGGGUAGGAUCACUUUGGCAAUGAACGCAGUAGAUAGUGUCGAGCGAGAAAAGAGGCAGACCUGAAAUAAAACAGAAGCAUUUAUUGAAGGUCUCAUAAUUGCAAUUUGGGGGGCACAGAUUUGUGUAAGCAACCCACAUCAUGUCCCCCUGGGGAGCAAAAGUCAGGGCUUUUUAAAGACAAAAGGGCAUGCUUGUAUACAUUGUUCACAAAGAAUUUUGAGUGGUGGUGGUGGCAGAAAACUAAUCUUGGCUACGCAUAAUUGGUUGCUAAGGCUAUCACUAAGCAAAAGUCAGUUAUUGUAGCAAAUUGCAGAUGUUCAUGCCGAGUCCUCGGAAUAUUUGCUCUUUGGCACAGUUAAAAACUUCAUGGUUCCAGUGGGUGAGCAUAUGUCUAAAUUCCACCUCUUUAAUGGCCUCCCAGCUCCGUUUCAAAACCCCUUGACAUAACUGACUCCGUUUUUUUUUAAUGUUUAUUUAUUUUUUGAGAAAAUGCCAGAGGGGGAGGGGCAGAGGGAGAUAGAAAAAAGGAUCCGAAGAGGGCUCUGCACUGACAGCAGUGAGCCUGAUGUGGGCUCGAAAUCAUGAACCGGGAGAUCAGGACCCGAGCCAAAGUAGGAUGUUCAACCUACUGAGCCACCCAGGUACGCCUAACUCCUUCUUAUUUCACCUUUCACAACAGAAAAGGGAAAAGGACUAAAGAGUCCCGUGAGACACAAUAUUUAAAGGUUGAGGAGAUGAGAGGGAACUAAAAUUGUAUCAUGGUAUAGAAGUUUGUUUUGCCUGGCUUUAGUUGCACAAUUUAGUGACGGACAAAGUGGGAUCAUCAUGAGAACUGGCUUUUUCUUGCAGGAUGACUCCUUCAGCUCAAAAUGCAGCAAUGUUCUCAAGCAAGGGAAGAACAUCUCUAUAACACAAAGGUCUAGAGAGCUUUAUUGGGUGUUUGGAGUUUCAGGGCACUCCCAGAACUUGAAAUCCUCCCAGAUAUUACCAUUUCAGUUCUCUAACACUCAUUUAAUUUUGACCAAUGUGCUGUUUAUUUCUCAUGUACAGUUAAGAACAUGGGUUGUGGAAUCAGACAGAUUGUUCUAACAUUGGCAACGUUACUGUCAGCAAUCUGACCUAUGGUGAUUCACUUAAGGGUUAACCUCUCUGGGCCUUGGUUUCCUAAUCUGUGGAAUAGAAAAGACAAAAAUACUUACUCAAAAGGAUUCUUCUGCAUAUUGAAUAUAGUACAAUUCUAUAAUACAAAUAUAAUACAAAUACAAAUAUAAUACAAUACUUAGAACAGUGUUUGGAGCCUAGCAUUUUCUAAGUGUUAGCUAGGACUAUCAUUAGGAGACUUGGUAAGGCUGAGAAGUCAACUGAUAUUACAAUUUGAUCACAGAAUAAAUCUCUGGCCGCAUUCAGUCGUGCAGCUGCCUGAGUUAAGGAAUCAUUUUAAAUGGUUUUACAAAGUCCCUGUGUCUCUAAAUGUCUUUGAGGCGCACCAAUAAUUUGAGUUUUUAACUUUUUAAUGAGUUAAUUUUUCUGUUUCAACUCUAUUUCAUAAUGAAAUAAGGUCGUGAUUUUUUUUUCAUUAUGGAAGUAAUGUGGUUUAUUGUAAAAAAAAAAAAAAAUUACCACUACAGAUACGUAUAAGUUAGGAAGUUAAAAUAAAAUGAAAGCUCUUUACCCUGAGGUAACAUCAACAUUUUGUUGCAUAUUCUUUCAUGCAUUUCCAUAUACAUCCAUGAAGUUCUAUGAGCCCGCCUCUCUCCAGGAGCCCCAAGGACUCAAUGCUACAGAACUCUCAACUUCAAGUCUCAAAGUUCCCUCUGGUACAAGAGGAAUUAAGUCUUAUGCUCAUUUUAUCCAUCAAUAUCUUCAAAGAGCAGGGGUGCCUGGGUGGCUCAGGUCAUGAUCUCAUGGUUUGUGAGUUCGAGCCCAGCUUUGGCCUCUGUGCUGACAGCUCAGAGACUGGAGCCUAGUUUGGAUUCUGUGUCUCCCUCUCUCUCUGCCCCUCCCUGACUCAUGCUCUGUCUCUCCUUCAAAACUAAACAAACAUUAAAAAAAUUAAAAAAAAAAAAAACUUUAAAUAGCAGAAGCCAUUUUGUAAACUGUGACUCCUGAAUCUGCUCUGACUAGAAAAAGUAAAUGGUGGUUGGGUUGGAUUUGAGAGAGAUAGGGUGCAUACCCAAAUUCAUAUCUCUCUCUUUCAGAAUCCCAAUCCUCUUUCAUAAAGUUUCUAGUAACAAUGGAUUAACCAUUCUUGCAUCUCGUGUUUGUAUGUUUCAUGUUUUCAUGGAUUCUAUGGGAUAGGCAAUAUGACUCCCCAGGGCCUUAUCCUAGAAGGUAUUUCAUCCUAGGAGACCAUGGGCAACACAAUUUUCCUCCUUGUAAUGUCUGUUUAUUCAUAACUUCUGGUCAUAAUAUCUCUUGAAAAGUUUACCUUUUUGUGAAUGAAUUCUUUUUUAGUAUAAUAGUAACUAUUUCCCCCUCAAAUGUACUAAAGAUAAAUGCUAUUAGAAGUGAUAUGUCUAGGGGCUCCUGGGUGGCUCAGUUGGUUAAGCGUCCAACUUCGGCUCAGGUCAGGAUCUCACAGUCCGUGAGUUUGAGCCCCGCAUCGGGCUCUGCGCUGACAGCUCAGAGCCUGAAGACUGUUUCAGAUUCUGUGUCUCCCUCUUUCUCUCUCCUCCCCCGCUCAUGCUGUCUCUCUCUUCUCAAAAUUAAAUAAACGUUAAAAAAAAUUAAAAAAAAAAGAAGUGAUAUUUCUACAUUAUGUUUUCAGUCAAAGACGUACUCAUCAAUAGACUUGACACAACAGUUUAUAGUCUGAGAAUGUUAUGUAGAACAAUGGGUGAAUUCAAAAUUGUUCUUUGUGUACACAUGUCAAGUGAAGGGGGUUGACUAGUCUGUUUUGUGCAUGCGCCAAUUUUGUAUCUUAAAGUAAUCUCAUGUACAGUUUUUUUUUGUUCUAAAAAUGGUUUCUAUGUUAUAGCAUUUUUUAUUAGUUUCGCUUUAUAUUUUUAAAAACUUCAUUUAAAUCCAAGUUAGUUAACGUAUAGUGUAAUAAUGGUUUCAGGAAUAGAAUUUAAUGACUCAUCGCUUACAUAUAACACCCAGUUCUCAACCCAACAAGUGCCCUCCUUAAUGCCCGUCAUGCAUUUAGCCCAUCCCCUUGCCCAGCACCUCUCCAGUAACCCUCUUUGUUCUCUGUAUUUAAGAGUCUCUUAUGGUUUGCCUCACUCUCUGUUUUUAUCUUAUUUUUCCUUCCCUUUCCCUAUGUUCAUCUGUUUUAUUUCUUAAAUUCCACAUAUGAGUGAAGUCAUAUGUUUAUAUUUCUCUGACUGACUUAUUUUGCUUAGCAUAAUACCUUCUGGCUUCAUUCACAUUGUUGCAAAUGACAAGAUUUCAUUCUUUUUGAUUGCAGAGUAGUAUUCCAUGGUGUGUGUGUGUGUGUGUGUGUGUGUGUGUGUGUGUGUGUGUACCACAUCUUUCUCAUCCAUUCAUCAGUCGAUGGACAUUACACUCUUUUCAUAAUUUGGCUUUUGUUGAUAGUGCUGCUAUAAACACUGGAGUGCAUGUGCCCAUUCAAAUCAGGAUUUUUAUGUCUUUUAGAUAAACACCUAGUAGUGCAAAUGCUAUGUCAUAGGGGUAGCUCUAUUUAUAAUUUUUUGACAAACCUCCAUCCUGUUUUCCAGAGUGACUGCACCAGUUAGCAUUCCUACCAGCGGUACAAAAUGUCCCAGUUUCUCUGCAUCCUCACCAGCAUCUGUUGUUUCCCGAGUUGUUAAGUUUAGCCAUUCUGACAGGUGUGGGGUGGUAUCUCAUUGUGGUUUUGAUUUGUAUUUCCCUGAUGAUGAGUGAUGUGGAGCAUUUUUUUCAUGUGUCGGUGGGCCAUCUGGAUGUCUUCUUUGGAGAAAUGUCUAUUCAUGUCUUUUGCCCAUUUCUUCACUGAAUUAUUUGUUUUUUGGGUGUUGAGUUUGAUCAGUUCUUUAUAGAUUUUGGAUACUAACUCUUAAUCUGAUGUGUCUUUUGCAAAUAUCUUUUCCCAUUCCAUCAGUUGCCUUUUAGUUUUCCGGAUUGUUUCCUUUGCUGUGCAGAAGAUUUUUAUCUUAAUGAGGUCUCAAUAGUUCAUUUUUGCUUUUGUUUCCCUUGCCUCCAGAGACAUGUCUAGUAAGAAGAUGCUAUGGCCGAUGUCCAAGAGGUUACUGCCUGCUUUCUCUUGUAGGAUUUUGAUGGUUUCCUGUCUCACAUUUAGGUCUUUCAUCCAUUUGGAGUGUAUUUUUCUGUAUGAUGUAAGAAAGUGGUCCAGGUUCAUCCUUCUGUAUGUCACUGUCCAGUUUUCCCAACACCGUUUGAUGAAGAGACUUUUUUCCAUUGGACAUUCUUUCCUGCUUUGUUGAAGAAUAGUUGGUCAUGCUUCAUUAUCGGUGUAUAGAAAUGCAACCAAUUUCUGUACAUUGAAUUAUAUCUUGCGACUUUGCUGAAUGCAAGUAUCAGUUCUAGCAGUUUUUUGGUGGAGUCUUUUGGGUUUUCCAUGUAAAGUAUCAUGUUGUCUGUGAAGAGUGAAAGUCUGACUUCUACUUUGCCGAUUUGUAUGCCUUUUAUUUCUUUUUGUUGUCUGACUUCUGAGGCUAGGACUUCCAGUACUUUGUUGAACAACAGUGGUGAGAGUGGACAUCUCUGUUGUGUUCCUGACCUUAGGGGGAAAGCUCUGUUUUCCCCCAUUGAGGAUGAUAUUAGCUGUGGGUAUUUCAAACAUGGCCUAUAUGAUCUUGAGGUAUAUUCCUUCUAUCCCUACUUUCUUGAGGGUUUUUAUCAAGAAAGGAUGCUGUAAUUUGCAAAUGCUUUUUCUGCAUCUAUUGAGAGAAUCACAUGGUUCUUAGUCUUGCUUUUAUUAAUACAAUGUAUCACAUUGAUUGAACUGCAGAUAUUUAACCACCCCUGCAGCCCAGGAAUAAAUCCCAUUUGAUUGUGGUGAAUAAUUCUCUUAAUGUGUUGUUGGAUUUGGUUUGCUAGUAUCUUGCUGAGAAUUUUUGCAUCUACAUUCAUUAAGGAAAUUGGUCUGUAAUUCUCCUUUUUAGUGGGGUCUUUGUCUGGUUUUGGAAUCAAGGUAAUCAUAACCUCAUAGAAUGAAUUGGGAAGUUCUCCUUUUAUUUCUAGUUUUUUGAAACAGCUUCAAAAAAUAGGCAUUAACUCUUCUUUAAAUGUUUGGUAGAAUUCCUCUGGGAAGCCAUCCAGCCCUGGACUCUUACGUGUUGGGAGAUUUUUGGUUACUGAUUCAAUUUCUUUACUGGUUAUGGGUCUGUUCAAAUUUUUUAUUUCUUCCUGUUUCAACUUUAGUAGUUUAUAUGUUUUUAGGAAUUUGUCCAUUUCUUCCAGAUUGCUCAAUUUGUUGGUAUAUGUAAUUGUUCGUAAUAUUCUUUUAUUAUUGUUUGUAUAUCUGUGGUGUUGGUUGUGAUCUCUCUUCUUUCAUUUGUGAUUUAUUUAUUUGGGUCCUUUUCUUUUACUUUUUAAUAAAUCUGGCUAAGGAUUUAUCAAUUUUUUAAAUUUAUUUCAAAGAACCAGUCCCUUGGUUUCAUUGAUAUGUUCUACUGUUUUUUGUUUUUUUUUCCCCCAAUAUCAUUGAUUUAUCCUCUAACCUUUAUUAUUUCCCCUUGUCUGAUGGUUUUGGGCUUUGUUUUGCUCUUCUUUUUCCAGCUCCUUUGGGUGUAAUGUUAGAUUGUGUAUUUGAGACCUUUCUUCCUUCUUUAUUAAGGGCUGGAUUGCUAUAUACUUCCCUCUCAUGACCACCUUUGCUGCAUCUCAGAGGUUUUGGACUGUCCUGUUACCAUUUUUAUUGGCUUCCACGUACUUUUUAAUUUCCUCUUUAAUUUCUUCGUUGACCCAUUCAUUCUUUAGUGAAUAUUCUUUAAUCUCAAAAUAUUCAUGGUCUUCCCAAAUUUUUUCUUGUGGUUGAUUUCUGUUGCAGACUGAGUCUGGAGUUCUCUCUUGUCUUGCAAGAGUGUGGACGCAGAAUUGAAUAGAAGAGAGGCUACUGUCUGGGAGGAAGCAAGACCCCAAACAGGGCUUUUGCCUCUGUAUUUACUGAGCUCACAAGAUAUUACCCAUGUGGUGAAGGUGGAGAAAACAAGAUCUUACACACAUGAAUGUGGAGAAAAAAAAUCAGACAGUAGUCAUUAACUUGUAUGUAUAAGAAGAAAAGGGUCUGGAGGCAAGUGGAGUUUGGGAUUAAAGCACAAUAGUAUAUUGGCACCAGAUGGAAAGUAGUUUCCUGCAGGUGAUAUAACAAGUUUGUCGUGAUCCCAUUACAAUAUCUUGUUAGCUUACCUCGGGCACUUUUGCCCCAUGGUGGUGGCUUUCCUCCCAAGCUUUAUUCUAACCCAUUUAUGUAAGAAGAACCUAUUUCCCCACAGAUUUCAAGUUUCAUAGCAUUGUGGUCUGAAAAUAUGCAUGGUAUGCUAUCGACAUUUUUGUACUUGUUGAGGGCUUAUUUGUGACCCUGUAUGUGAUCUAUUCUGAAGAAUGUCUCAUGUGCACUCAAGAAGAAUGUAUAUUUUGCUGCUUAGGAUCAAAUGUUCUGAAUAUAUCUGUUGAGUCCAUCUGGUCCAAUGUGUCAUGCAAAGCCAUUGUUCUCUUGUUGAUUUUCUGCUUAGAUGGUCUGUCCAUUGCUAUAAGUGGGCUGUUGAAGUCCCCUACUAUUAUGGUAUUAUUAUCAAUGACUUUCUAACAUUAUUUUUUAAAUGUAGUUUGAGGUUGAAAAUUGGUGAAUAAAAUGGUACAAAAAAAAAAAAGAGAGUACAUUCCAAGGAAUGACUGCCUUGCACUUGUCCUACAGUAACUGCCACCUGCAUUUCAGUCUCCUCUCCUUCUUUGGUGAGGACAUAAACCCUCACUGCACUAAAUUUUAAUAAAUUAUUUAUUUUCAGUUGUUAUUAAUUAUAUAAACUAGUUUUCAUUGUUCAAUUGAUAUCUUUUUCAUUAUUCAAUUGGGCAUCUUGGUUUGGAAUGAAAUAAGUCGUAAUUUGUUGCAUCAAAAUUGAUGGAAUUAAUAAAUAUUAUAAUGGAUUUUCAUCUAUGUCAAGGUUUUCCAAGGAUGAUUUAAAAUUACCAAGAAAGCUAGAGGAGUAUUUAUUUUAUCAUUUCACCACUGUUGCCCAUGGGGUACCAGAUUCCCUUCAUGAAUAUUCAGACUGUCUAUCUAUAGUCUCCUCCAAACUAGAUAAUAAAUCCUAGAUUCCCCCUAUUUUUUGUUUCUUGCAAACCAUUUCCUAUUAUUAUCUGUAUUAGUCAGGAAUUUUGCUCAUAAAAAGGAAAAACAAAUCUUGCAGUCGUAGCAAAAUUGUGAUUGUUUUUUGGGCUAAUAGAAGAAGUUUAGAGAAUUAAAUAGAACCCAGAAGCAGGAAGCAAAGCUGCAGGGUCAAUCUACCUGGACCGACAGCCCAAAGUUGCUGCACACUAUUGCUACCACUCGCUCAUUGACAGCAAAACUGGGUCUGACUUUUGCACCAUUAAUCCUAAUCAUCUCUUAGUCGUCUCAUUCGGUCCACGUUAAAAGCAGUAAGACAGUGUAAGGGGUUGAACUGAGAUCUUGUGCCUGUGUCCUGACUACCAUGUUUGAAGAGAAGUGUUUCCUCCCUGUAGAGUUCAUAGUGGGAGAUUGGGCACUGCGUUUCUCCAGUAGUGUACCCACGGGGGUUCUCCUGAAAGAGAAAGGGAGAAUUCAUGUUGGAAACUCAAGAGGAAACACAGAGACUAUAGUUGCCUUUAUCUUAGAAGUCAUGAUAAGCCUAGUCAUAUGGACGUAAAUCUCAGGGAAGAUCAUCUGCAGUGGAAGAAGAGAAGUGUAAAGUUGCACCAUAUAGUACAUGAAAAGAGGCAGCUUCAUGAGAGAUAUUUUGUGUAGGGAUAUCUGGUAAGCUUCUUUAGCAGGGAUCCUACUGCAUAAAAAGUCAUUUUAAUUGUCAAAGACUGGUAGGAAAACGAAGAGAUGUAAUAUUCAAAUAGUGCAGUCAUCAUGCCAUGUGAAAGCCAAGUAACGUGAUGAUUCCCUGAGUGAACAAAGUUUGAAAUAUCAGUAUAAUGUUCAUAUUGUCUGGGUGAUUUUACUUCAGGCAAAUGUCAUUUGCCAUUUUAAAUCAAUUAAUUAAAUUAUUAAAUUAUUGUUAAUACAAUUUUAAUUACUUUUGAUGUUGUUAAUACAACUUCCAAUUAAUAUUAAUGUUGUUGAUGCAAUUUUUUGUUUUUGUUUAUAAGAUACUUUUGGUUUCAUGGUUAUAUGAGAGGCAUAAGAAUAUAGGUUUUAUAUCUGUUUUUAUGUUUGUGCAUAUCUAAGUGGAAGGGGCAAUACAUUACCCAUUUUAGAGAAACACUACUCUUUACUAGUUUUGAUUAAUAUACGUACAUACUUAUCUUUAUUCCAAAUGCCAUUAAUUGACACUCUGGAAUAGUUUUCCAACAUCCUCUUAUCCUUAUUAUUAUGAAAAUACAAAAAAACCCCAAAACUAUCAUUUUUGUAUUGCUACUUUUGAGAAACUCUCAUAGGGGAGGCAGUUCAGCUAAAUGGUUAAGAAUUCACGUUUUCGGGAAGCCUAGGUGGCUCAGUUGAUUAAGUGUCCGACUUUGGCUCAGGUCACGAUCUCACAGUUUGUGAGUUUGAGCCCUGCAUCAGGUUCUGUGCCUGGAGCCUGCUUUGAAUUCUGUGUCUCCAUCUCUCUCUCUGACCCUUCCUUGCUCGUGCUCUGUCUCUCUCUGUCUCUCAAAAACUAAAUGUUAAAAGAAAAAAAAGAAUUCAAGUUUCGGAUGCCAACAACUUUAUGAUCUUAGGGAAGGAACUGGGCCCUCGGUUUCAGAGGGUAUGAAUAUGGAGCUAAUAAAUAAUACUUAUAUCACUGGGUUGCAUAGCAACCCAACAAAUCAAACCUAUUAUAUAAUAGGUAUUUGAUCAACAGUAGAUAUUACAGUUAACUUGGGAAUUAUAUAUCAAGAAAGCUUCGGUAUUAUUUGUGGAGGUAUUUUCUGGGAUGCUUGUAUUUGUUUAAUAUUUAUUAGGAGAAAAUAGUGUUUAAAUUCUCAGAAAUUAGAAUAGCCAUUCAAAGAAAGCAGUUGAUCAUUCAGGGAGGAUUAUUAAAGGAAAGGACAUGAAAGUGACAAACUUCCAUGUUCUGUCACAAUCACUUUAGAGUCACCUAAUGAUCUAUAGGCAAGGAAAUCUGAUUCAUGAGUAUUUAUUCUCUUCACCAGCUUGUUUCUCUUCCAUUUCUGUCUUAUUUUCUCUCUCUCUGUCACUCUCUCUUAAACACCACAAGCACUGUUACCAGACCAAAGUGGGUCUGCUUCUUGGUGAGUUACAGAGACUGAAUCAAAGGGAGUUGCCUUAUAAGGUCAUCUUUAUCUGUACAAACAAGGAGAGCACUGGGAAUAAUUUCCAAAUGUGUGUCUCUCCAAACCAGAGAAAGCAGGUUUUUUUCUAUUAGUUAGGGCUCAGGAUGAAUAUUCAGAGGGGGGUUUUAACAUCAUAAUGAGGCUCAGGCACUUUUUCUUUUUUAAGUUUUCUUUCUUUCUUUUUUAAAAUUUACAUGCAAGUUAGUCAGCAUAUAGUGCAACAAUGAUUUCAGGAGUAGAUUCCUUAAUACUCUUUACCCAUUUAGCCCAUCCCCCUUCCCACACCCGUUCCAGUAACCCUCCGUUUGUUCUCUAUAUUUAUGAGUCUCUUAUGCUUUGCCCCCCUCCCUGUUUUUAUAUUAUUUUUGUUUCCCUUCCCUUAUGUUCAUCUGUUUUGUACCUUAAAGUCCUCAUAUGAGUGAAGUCAUAUGAUCUUUGUCUUUCUCUGAUGGACUAAUUUUGCUUAGCAUAAUACCCUCUAGUUCCAUCUACGUAGUUGCAAAUGGCAAGAUUUCAUUCUUUUUGAUUGCCAAGUAAUACUCCAUUGAAUAUAUAUAUCACAUCUUCUUUAUCCAUUCAUCCAUCAAUGGACAUUUGGGUUCUUUCCAUACUUUGGCUAUUGUUGCUAGUGCUGCUAUAAACAUGGGGGUGCAUGUGCCCCUUCGAAACAGCAUACCCGCAUCCAUUGGAUAAAUACCUAGUAGUGCACUUGCUGGGUCGUAGGGCAGUUCUAUUUUUAGUUUUUUGAGAAACCUCCAUACUGUUUUCCAGAGUGGCUGCACCAGUUCUGCAUUCCUAGAGGCUCAGGUACUUUUUGAUUCAUCUGUGCAUGUGUCCUCCUCAAAUGUUUCUUGUUCUGUUCCAGCAGUUUGCUAGUUAGUUUCUAAAAGGUAAGAUUGACAGGUAGACAGAAGCUUUUGGGGUUUCCUGAGUUCCGGAGGUCAGUCCUGAGUUCAGGAGGUCAGGUGGGUGAUAGCACCCCCUCUACACAUGCUUUUGUUUCUUCUGUUUCCUUCUCAAAUUUGGUAUCACUGUUUUCAAUAACAAAUUUAGAUCUGUAAAAUAACAAUUUUGGUCAUUUCUGCUCUCUGUUCACCAAGUGUUACUAACAAAAAUUUAAAAUUAUCUUGCCAAAAGUCUUUGCCAUUUGCCCUUACUGCCCACACACAUAUCUGACACAUUUUGCUUUGGCUGCUGCUACACGUGCAAGAAGAAAUCAAAGGCCUUUAAGCAAGUGGAUUCACAGCUCAAGUUCACAGCUCAGCCCUCUACUAGGGAACGUGGCGUUCAGAUACCUAGAACUCUGUAAUGGGAGCACACUGGGUCAGCCAUCAAAAUCCUAUUGAACGUAAGUAUAUGACUUGGGCUGCACAUUAGAAUAAGCUGAACAUUAAAAAAGAGAAGAAAAGAAAAGAAAAGAAAAGAAAAGAAAAGAAAAGAAAAGAAAAGAAAAGAAACGAAACGAAAUGAAAAAAAAAGAAAAGAAAAAAGAAAAAAGAAAAACUAAUACCUGACUUUCAAGUCACUGAAAUUCUGGUUUAAUUUGUUUGGAGUGAGACUGGGCUUCUAUCUUUUAAAAGUUCACCCAGGUGUUUUUAAAGUUCAGCUUUGGAAACCUCUACCUCAUUGUUAUCUAUUGCCGUCUACACUAUGUAAUUAAGCCCUCGUGGAACGCGUCUUUCUCCAGAGAGCUGGUGUCUCUUUCACUGGACAUGCUUGGUCCCUGAUGGACAUUUAUCACUUAUUUCACCUUAGACAUACAGCCCACAGAAUGCACAUUUCCAGUAAACAGCAAGUACAAGUAAACUAGUAAAGUGAUGAUGACAUACCUAACGCAAUACGUCAGGGAUUGCCGAGGAAAAGGAAAACAUCGCUACCAGAUAGGUAUGUGAUACAGAGGAUUCCUCUAGUAGGGUGUUGUGUUCUGAAGGAGGCGUUUGAUGGUUACAGUCUCUUCAGUUCCGUGAUCCUGUGACUCUUAAGUGUCCGAGGUCUAAAAGAACGGCAAUGGGGUUAAGGAAAAGACUCGAACCCCAAAGAGAGAAAGUUUUGAAAGUAGAAGCAGGGAUUCUUACUUCUGUCUUGUAUUUCACUGGGGGACUUUGGCAGAUGUCUCAAUCAAUUUCUGUUGCAAUUCUCUCUUUCCUUUCCUGGCCGACAAACUCUUGGUGAAAAUCUCUAAAUGGACUUUCCCCAUUCUCUUUACCUUAUUAGUAUUCCUACUAAGACUCUACCCUACCAGCAGAUCUCAGUGGGUUCAACUUUUCCAAAAUACUAUUUGCGACAGUACAGGUGCAGAAUCGACAUCUAUUUACUUGUCUCUGUUCAUCGUAGAGAAAAGUGAGAGAGAGAAGCUAGUAGCUUCUACCUAUGACACAUCAGUGGAGAGGUUCAGCCCCCUUUCGACCUAAAUAUCUCCUCUGACUUGUACCAUUUGGAAAUUUGCUUAAAUUCCAAAUCAUAUUAACAGUUGCAACUUUUCUUUUUUUUUUUUUUUUUUUUUUGUUUGUUUUUCUUUUUGUUUUGUUUUUGGCAACUUCUAACUGCCCAUCUCCAUCUGGAAGUCCCACAGUAGAAAUCUUGCCUGUUUGCAUUUUCUCCACUUUCCUAGGAGCUAAGGCCAGACAGCUACGUGGUGUCUAUGCUUUUUUUUUUUCCCCCCAAACCAUUGACACCUAAUCUAUCACCACUACACUUCCUAAGUAUCCUGGGAUCUGUACACUUCUCACUUCUCUCUACCUCUGUGUAGAGGCCUUUAAAUAUGCCACCACGGUUUCCCUUCUGAAUCACCGUGACAGCUUCCUUACCGAUCUCCUUGCCCUUAGCUUGGCUCUCUGUAGUUUUCAUGGAGACAUUUUCCAGGCUGCGGUCAGAAUUUUAAAAAUGCAAACCUGAUAAUACCAUUUACUCUAGUACUAACCCUUCAAUAUUUCCCCGUUUGCCUGGAUAAAAUGAAACUUCUUCACCGAGGACCUUGAAACCCUUCUUAAUCUGUCCCCUGAUAAUCCUUUGCAGCUUCGUUUCUAGUCAGUAUCCUUUCUCACACUCUGCAUUUCAGCCAGACUGAACUGAUUUUACUUCUCCAACCAUCCAGCCUCAAUUCCAGGUCUUUGUAAACACACUAAUCUCUCUAUUUUAAACAUCCUCUUACUUGGCCUGACGUCUAUCAUCUUUCUGUCUUUGUUGGUAUUUUCUCCUAUCAGGCACCCGUCCUAGUGUUUAGCAUCAGGUAAUUAAUUGCCUCUGUCAGCAUUUCCUAUGUGACUGCAAAUUGCCUGAAAGUGUGGUUUGUAUUUUGCGCGGGACAUUCUCUGUAGACAGCAGUUUGUAACACACAAUACUGCUUGUUAUUUGUCCCAUGAAUAACAUUUUUAAUAGGGGCACCUGGUUGGCUCAGUCAGUAGAACAUGCGAUUCUUGAUCUUGGGGUUGUGAGUUUGAGGCCCACCUUGGGUGUAGAGUUUACCUAAAAAAAGAAAGAAAGAAAGAAAGAAAGAAAGAAAGAAAGAAAGAAAGAAAAGGACUCUAAUAAGUUCACAUUCUUUCUUUCUCUGGAUUAAAUGUAUUUACCUCAAUUAUGAAACUUGAAAGUAAACCUUAAGUGUGCGUAUUAUAUUUAAAUCCUUUUGCAAAUGACUUUCCCCUUAUCGUUCUUCAGCUCAAACACUGAUAUUCAUUUGAAAUAUCUACGGUUAUUUUCCAGUUUAACAGCUCUUGAUCCAAAAGAUCAAAUAUUACUGUAUUUACUAGUGUAAACAGUAAACAGCAAGUACAAGUAAUCUUACAAUUUCAGUAAUUCUAUGUAUUCAACAAACUUUCUCAAUUACCUUUAUCAGAAGCUGAAAUUUGGGAUGCCUGGGUGGCUCAGUUGAUUAAGUGUCCGACUUCAGCUCAGAUCAUGAUCUCAUGGCUUGUGGGUUCGAGCCCUGCAUCGGGCUCUGUGCUGACAGCUCAGAGCCUGGAGCCUGCUUUGGAGUCUGGGUCUCCCUCCCUCUCUGCCCCUCCCCCGCUCGUGCUCUGUCUCUCUCUGUCUCAAAAAUAAAUGUUAAAAAAAUAUUAAAUAUAUAUAUUCUAAAAGGAAACUGAAAUUUAAGAGAUGAAAAACUAUUUUUGCAAGCUGAUACAUGUAAUUAUCAUUUUGGAUAAACCUGUUUUGAAAUCUGUGAUACUGUUGGGUUUAUUUCACCAGUAUGACCAAGAGUCAGUGUGUUUAUUGGCAACACAGUCAAGGGAUUAUGCUAACACACUGAAAUAAUAAGAAUACUGCAAAUUUGCAAAUCUUCAUUGUGCGUUUCCAUCAGCAUUUCUUUGGUAGCAAGUAUGUACCAGCCCCCAGAAACAGAAAAAUCUCUGUGGGACAUUAGGAAUGCAGAGUAGCAUUGCUCUGAGACGAAUACAGCAGAGCGUGGUCUGUUUUUUUAAUGAGGCAAAUCUAGAGCGGGGUAACAUGACCCUGGGCCACCUUGUUGUAGAUCGGUAAAAAUCAUGAAAAUAAUACUCUUACGGGCAGCUACACCAGCAUGGGACUUUGGUGGCCACUUCUGUGGGAAGACGGUGUGAAUAUAAAGCAGAGCCACCACCAAAAGCAGUGGUAAAGCAUUUGGCAGCCUUCAGAGACUCCUCCAUAAGAGGCUGGAGCCAAAGGAGGAGGAGGAGAAUGGUAGACGGCCGCCAGCAGCUAAGACGGCUUUCCUAUGAGGACGUAGGGGGCGCAGAUUGAGACUUUAAAUAAUAGCCAGUGUAAUGUCCCACUCAUUUUUUCCAGUGAACGUUAGAAUCCAACUGAACAUUUUUGUACCAAAAUUGUUAUUUCACAGUUAUUUCUAGAUCGUCAUUCUCUGGAAAACACAAGUUAUUAUUAUUAUUGUGUCUGUCUUUUUGAGAUUUUUUUCCCCUUAUAGCUUUUGAUGUUAUAUGCUGUAGAUACGAUCUCACUUAUUACCAGUCGUAAGUGGUUGGAAUUGGCCAGAAAUACUUGUUUUUACAUUGAAGAUAGAGAGAUAGAUGCGGACAAAGUCUUUAUGUCCAGUCAUAUGAUGCUCUGAACCAGUCAUCAAUCAGUGAUAAAGCUAGAUUUCUCCAACUUCUUUUUAUUAUUAUUAUUAUUAAUUAAUUUAUUUAUUUGGGAGAGUGCAAGCAGGGGAGGGGCAGAGAAAGAGGGGGUAGAAGAUCCAAAGUGGGUUCUGCACCAACAGCAGUGAGCCCAAUGUAGGACUUGAACUUAUGAACUGUGAGAUCGUGACGUGAGCUGAAGUCUGAUGCUCAUUUGACUGAGCCACGCAGGUGCUUCCAGACUUCUCCAGCUUCUGACCAUACUAUCUAUUGACUAUGACCAUGCAGUCUGCAGUGGGGGGUGGUGGACAGAUAUCCAAAAUCUUGGUUGUUUGUGGUUAUUUAUUUAUUUUAUCUUUUAUUUUUAUUUUUUGAUUGAUUUUAAGUUUAUUUAUUUUAGAAAGAGAGAGUGGGGGAGGGGCACAGAGAGAGAGAGAGAGAGAGAGAGACAGAGACAGAAUCCCAUGAAAGCUCUGCCCCAUCAACAUGGAGCCCAAUACAAGGCUCCAACCAUGAUAUCACAACCUGAGCCGAAGUCAAGAGUCGGAGGCUCAACCAACUGAGCCACUCAGGUGGCCCAUACUUAUUUUUUUUGAAAGUAGACUCCGCACCCAAUGUGGUGCUCCAUCUCAUGACCCCAAGAUCAAGACUCGCGCGCUCCAUCAACUGAGCCAGCCAGGCACCCCUGUUUGUGGUUAUUUAAGUUCCCAAUGGCUAGUAGACAGCAUACAGGACCACGAGUUAGCAAGAAAGUUCAAUUUCCUCUGGUGGCCCUGAUCCUCUGUUAUGUGACCUUUGUCCCUCAGCCACUCUGGGUUCCAUUUCUUCCUUUGUGGAGAAGGUGCUUGGGCCAAAUCAGAGACAGUUGACCUGAGGUCUGUGGUUCCCUGCCCUUCCCACGCCAACAGUCACACCACCCAUGAAUAGAUUCCCGGGAAUUGGCCAGUCUAAACUUUUAUACAAUAAGCUAAACACGUACAGUUUUCUAAGCAGAAAUUCAGAGAUAAUAUCAGAUUUUCAAAAAGUCUGUGAUCAAAGAUCACUGACAACAAAUUCACACAACUAGAAUACAUAAUUUCAAAGGCCCUAAUUUAUUUAAAUACCUAUGAUUCCAUGUAUUUUAGCGUUGAAUGUGAUAUGUACUUUCCCAGUGUAACUUCUAGGUACUAAUAGUUAUAGGAUUUCAAAACAAAUAGCCCAAAGCCAAUCUUCAGAGAGAUGGGAAUAAAUAUGAGAGAGCAGUUCGUGAUAUUAUUACAUCUGAAUGUGUCUGGGAUUCUAGCACUUUUAAAUCUUUUCCUUUGCUCUAUUUCAGGUUGUAUGUCUACAUUUCCUUUGUGAGAACGCCUGAGGAAUUGUUGAAUCAACUGUUUUGCAGACAUGUGGCUGCUCUAACUUCUUCCAAUAUGUUAAUGUGUUUUUUUUUUAAUUUUUUUAAUGUUUAUUUAUUAUUGAGAAACAGAGCAUGAGCAGGGGAGGGGCAGAGAGAGGGGCAGACACAGAAUCCGAAGCAGGUUCCAGGCUCUGAGCUGUCAGCACAGAGCCCGACGCGGGGCUUGAACUCACAAACCAGGAGAUGGUGACCGGAGCCAAGUCAGACGCUCAACAGACUGAGCCACCCAGGCGCCCUUAUGUUAAUGGUUUGAAUUAAAAAAAUGUUCCUAAGAAGACAAAUUUGGUUGAGAUCCCAAUAUUUAAAGUUCAUGUUUUUGGUUGCAAACUCAAUAAUGUGCAUCAUGUUGAAAUCAUGAAAUUAUUCCAGAAGCUGUAUAUGGCUUUGGGGGGAAAAAAAAAAAAAAAAACUUUUGGCAGCAAAUAAGGGAGUUUCCUCAAAAUUUCUGAAUGCUUAUAUUAUUAUCAGUGGGAGAUUGCUAACAGGGCACUUGGAACUCGUCCAUCUUUGGAAAGCUAGGGAAUUCUUACCAUUAUGCACAUGGGAAAAUAUAACGUUCUGUUAUUGGGAGGAGACCGUGAAACAAAUGCUAGUCUAUCUGGUGGUCAGGGACAGCUUGAAUGAUUCCCAGUUAAUUUUUUUUUUUUUUUCUUGUUAGCCCCAGAAUGUCUCACAUGCACAUUCCAGGGCGGACAGCUUGCCUUCAAACCUCUUUCUAGGCAACAACAAUACCAGUGAUUGUACCAGUGCCAAGACUAAAGCCAUUGCUCUAAAGGCCUGACAUUUUCGGCUGUCCAUGGCAGCUCUUUCUGCUUUCUUACUAUUCUUUCUUUCUGCCUCAUCACCCCUUCAACUCAUUCUUCGAGCAGAUAUUUUCGGGACUUCUCCCUUUCUUUUCAUUUCCAUAAUCACAAUCUAGUCUCGAUUCUGCUCCAGCUCUCCUAUGGUUUCUUCUCUAAAUGCCCUAACGUUUCUUUCCAUAAUCUCUUCUCUGGGGAGUUAACUUACGCUGAACAGUAAGGAUUCUCUUUCUCAUCCGUUCUUGACCUUAAUAUACAUAUUAACAUCACAAUAUAUUUUAUGUGUAUAUUUAUUUAUUUAUUUCAGGAUCCUUUAGUACUUACUUGCAAGUAGAUACAAUCUAUAAAACUUCGCUUUUUUUUCUUUCCCUACAUAGUCUCUUCUUUCUCUCCCGGUAGAUUUGUCCAACGUCUAGAUUCUACAAAGUGCCUGACCCUAAAAAGAGAAUGAUGAUGGAAAAGAGCGGCGGGGCACCCGGGUGGCUCAGUCCAUUAAGCGUCUGACUUUGGCUCAGAUCAUGAUCUCAUGGUUGGUGAGUUCAAGGCCUGCAUCGGGCUCUCUACUGUCAGUGCAGAGCCCGCUUUGGAUCCUCUGUCUCUUUUUCUCUCUGCCCCUCCCCUACUCACUCUCUCUCUCUCUCUCAAAACUAAAUAAACAUUUAAAAAGAAAAAGUCCUUUAACAUUGAAGGGAAUCACAGUUUUGUAGAUUAAGCAAAUGUAUGGAUAAUUACACUUUUCUUCUUAGUGCUUGUCAAAAUGAUAAUUAGUUGACUUAUUGUUUAUCUCCCUCACCAGGGAAUAGACCAGGGCUACCAGUUCAAUAUUAUUCCCAACACCUAAUCCAAUACUUGGCACAUAAGAGGGGAAGAAUGCAUAUUUGUUGAAUCAAUUACUGAAUUAUAGCUAUAGAAUAAUAUUCUAAUAGUGACACAUCCAAACUUCAGUGGAGGCAACUAGGAUCUAUUUCACUCUGAGCAGAAGGAUCAGAGGUUUCAUAAAAAAGACCACGUCCAAGCUGAGACUUUUAAGAAUUGGUAGGAGAUGGAGUGCCUGGGUGGCUCAAGUCGGUUAAGCAUCCGACUUCAGCUCAGGUCAUGAUUUCAUGGUUUGUGGGUUCGAGCCCCACAUCGGGCUCUGCGCUGUCAGCCCAGAGCCUGUAGUCUGCUUCAGCUUUCUGUGUCUCCCCCUCUCCCUGCCCCUCCUGCUCGCACUCUCUCUCUCUCUCUCUCUCUCAAACAUAAAUAAACAUUACAAAAAAUUUUAAGGAUCAGUAGGAGUUGAAGAAAACAGGUUAAGUUGGAUGCUGCUGCAGCGAAGUAAAUAGAGGAGGUGUCAGGAGAUAGAGCUGGGAAGAGCUUUUUUCUGUAAGCCGGCAUUUCCAACAGUGUCUUCUGAGGACGCUGGUCUCCCCUGUUAUUCAGAGAAAACCAUGUUCCGUGUGCUGGUAAAUGUUUAACAAUUGGAUCGCCUGAAAAUAUAAAAAGUCCUGAUUUGUAACGCUGGCCAGGAAUAGAUGCAGAGCAGCACGCGACUUUGUAGUAUUUCUACCAUCCAGAUGCAGGAGAUACACGUGACUCCGAGAACGUAAGUAGGAGUAGCCUGUAGUGAUUCUUUGGGAGGAAAGAUAAUUUUUCCCUCUACCUGAUGAAUAAUAAAACAGCAAUAAUAAUAGAAUUUACUAUUUUCUAUUACUUUUCUUUUGUCUUUAAAAAAAAUUUUUUUUAACGUUUAUUUAUUAUUGACAGGGAGAGACAGAGCAUGAGCAGG